GUGAAAAAGCUCACAAUUCAUUCUGAUUCCCAGCUAAUCACUAGCCAGACAGCUUGAGUUAAGCAUAAAGACGGAGCCGGCAGCCAAAAUGUCAUAGGUUAGUGUAACUCCCAACUGGCAAAGUUCUAUUAUAGACUACCUGGUCAACGGCACACUCCCCACCGAAAGAUUGGAGUCUAGGAAACUCUAAAUCAAGGCGGCACGCUUCUACAUGUGGAAUGCCAUUCUUAUUUGAAGAUCCUGCACCAGAUCACGUCUCCGCUGCUGAGUGCCUCCUGAUAACUUAAAGGUUCUAAGCUUAAUCCACAAAAGCAUUUGUGGAAAUCACUUCGGAGGUCGAAAUUUGGCACAAAGGGCUCUUAACACAGGCUACUAUUGGCCUACCAUGCACCAAAAUGCUAAGGAAUUAGUACAAAAGUGCGACCGCUGCUAACACUACAAGCUGGUACCAGCACUACCUGCUAGCAAACUACACCUGCAGAUGAGUCAUUGGCAGUUCAUGCAGUGGGAAAUUGACCUGGUAAGACCUAUGCCACCUACUACUAGGGGCAGAGACAUGAUGAUCGUGGCAACCGACUACUUCACCAAAUUGGUACAAGCAGAGCCUAUGACAACCACGAUUCAGACAGACAUAGAGCGUUUCAAAUGAAGGAAUAUCAUUUACCGUUUUGGCAUCCCUUAGUCCAUCGUCACCCACAACGGCCUGCAAUUCAUGGGCAGAGAUUUGGCUAAGUUCUUCCAAAAGUAUGGCAUAAAGCAACACAUGUCCAUGCCAAUAUAUCCUUAAGGCAAUGAGCAAGUCGAAGUAUCCAACAAAACAAUCUUUGACUGCCUCAAGAAAUCCUUCACCAAUAAGAAGGGAAAAUGGCCAGACGAACUCCCUAGAUGUCUAUGAGCAUAUCGUACCACCAAAAGAUGAGCAACCAGUGAGACUUCUUUCUCUUUGGCAUUUGGUUAAGAAGCAAUCAUUCAUCCUAAUGUCAUCAAGCCAAGUAUCAUCGCUCUACUACCAAGCAUUGAGCAGAAUAGUAAGGAGAUGGCCACAAGCUUAGGUCUGGCAGAGGAUAAACGCGAGCAGACCAUCACUUGCAUUGCAGCCUACCAACAACUCAUUUCCAACUACAACAAAAAGGCCAAGAUCCGGUAGUUCUAGCCUGAAGAUCUAGUCAUAAGAAAAUCCUUUAUCACUGCCCGCAGAGAAGGCUCUAAAAAGAUGGAUCCCAUAUGGAAAGGUUAGUACAAGAUCAACAGAGUAGGCAACAAAAGUAAUUACACCCUCGCCACCAUGAAACAACAAAAAGAUCGAAAAGCAGUGGUACGUCUACAAUCUGAGGAAGUACCAUGUGUGAUCUCCAGCUACAUCAAAGCCCGAAGACUCAAGCAGCUCGACGGGCACCAUCUCACAAGCCGAUGACUAUCCAAUUGUUAUGCAGUUCUUACUUUAUAGCUAAGUUCUCGUUCGUUUCAUUCAUUUUUCAAUGGGGAAUUCAGAAGUAAUCACAAAUUGGCUCGGCUGCAUGCUUACAACAACUGAUCACUCCUGCACUUCAAAAGAAGACUGCGCCCUUUUUAGGGACUUAUCGCAGGAAUUGCGCCAUUCGAGGGACCAACCAUGCUCUCUAGUGCGAGAGGGUAAACUAAUUACUCUCCAGUGCGAAAGGGUAAACCAAUUCCCCGACACCCACAUGGGUCAGCUCUCCAAGAGGGGAGGAUACACUUUACACUCCGAAUAUCCAAACGUGGAUUAGCCAGGUUGCCCUAGUAUAACUAGAUGCAUAAUGGCUUACGCCGGGAUUCCUAAAAGUAGCCAUAAUGGUCUUUUUCGAGGCUUAGCUAACUGAAGGAUUUUGAGUCUCUUGGCCUAAUCCGUGGGGAACCGGGCCCUAGAGACGGAGGGGGCAUAUUACGGAGUACGCCUUACAGAUGGUUGCCCUGGAACCCUAAAGCUACUACUAAGUGCACUAAGGUAGUCUACGGUUUUCGGAAAACUGCCUACGGCUUGCCCUUCGAGCAGUAAAACCACGCUAGACUUAUACAACCGCACAUUCUUGUGAAAGGUUAAACAAGCUAGCGUGCAUAUACGAAGUUUUAUCCACUGCCGACAUGCUACGUGGUUGAUAAACUUCACCUCUGCCAAGCGCGGAACAACCUACACCAAGUCCUAAAGUGUUGUGAUACUUGCUACGCAACCUACGGAAUUGGAGAAAGCCAAUGUUAACAGUCUAGUGGUUACGCAAACUUGUCUGCUUCUGUAAGUAAGGCAUCUCGCUGCCAACCCUAAGGCUAACAACUUUGCAAAGUUCUAUACCAACAUCUACGGCUGCAUAGGCUACGCGAGCUUGUCUUCUUAUAAAAAAGUAGCAUGCCUGCCACUGGUCUAUCAAGUCUAAAGGUUAGGGCAUGAACAAAAUAAGCGAAGAUGAAGAAAAUCGAAGGAAACAUGUGUAUAAACAAUUAGCAAAGGCCAAAAGAGUUCAAGCAAAACAAGAGCUACAAGGAAAAACAAAUAAAAUCCUAAAGGCUACCUAGAAGACUACAGCAGCUUAGUCAUCCCACGACUACUCGGUCGCCACACCUUCAGCAGCUGCGACUUUCUUAGCAGCGGCAUUAUCAAGCGCUUCACCCCUGGCUGCCCCAGCCUAGGCCUUAACUUCUCCAACUACUUCCCCAAUGCAAGCCUCAAAAGUAAAAGCAAGCAAGUCUUUCGGAGAAAUAGAGAAGCUCAUCCACUUCCUUCUUCAAACUUUCAUUGAUCUUCAGUACACCUUGAAGUUCCAACAUUUGGGGUUCAAGCCUAUUGACGAUUCUCUUGAAGUGGAUCACUUGAUUAUAAGCAAUAAUCAACUCUUCAUCAUUUGCAUAAGCAGUGAAACAAAGCUCAGAAACUGCAAACUCAGGAUCUUGAAUAUGAGGUAUGUAAUAUCCAAUCUUCUUCUCUGCACUUUCAUACUUAACUUGGAUCGCGUCAAGCCUAGUCUUUAAGUCAACGAUCUCGUGGUGAGCAAUCUCAAGCUGCAGAGAAGUGGAGGCAGAAAUAUUAGACCCUUCAAAGUAACAAGCUCAGGAUCCAACCUCUUGAUCUCUUCGGCUGAGGAAUAAGCUUCAGCUGCCAUAGUCUUCGCCACCUCCUUGGCAGCCUUGCUAUAUAUGCAUCAUAGCAAGCAGAACAGUCCUUCUAUAUUGGGUCGUGUGCUUCGCAAAGGAACUUGGGCAAACAACCUUUCUACCGCCAUCAACAAACUUGGCAUAAACGUCUAUGUCUUUAAGCAGAUUUAGUUUCAAAAGCAUACAGAUCUCAGCAGCCUCCUCAGAAGCAACUUAGUGAAUUUCUCAUAGCUGCCCACGCGAACAGUCUUAUCCUUCUUAGCAAGAGAAUUAGUCUCAGCAGUAAAGGGAGUGGGCCUUGGCGCCACUUUAGCAAUAGAGUCCACCUUAUCGCUAUUCAUAGUAGCAAGCCUCUCUAAAGGUGAACCGAACUUAGCUCUCAACAGACAUCUUGGUACAGACUUCGGCAUUGGGGACAUGACAGGACCUUUAUGCUGAGCAAUCCUAUCAGCAAUCAUACUAGCCAUUCUUGACAUGGUAGGCGCCACAUGCACAGAUCUAGCAGCCUCAUUUUUUUCUUCCCAUUGGAAGAAGUUAUGUCAAUCACAAGCAUUUUAGCAGUAGACAGACCCUCAUGAGCAGCGGAGGAAGGCUUCGGUUUUUCUCAACCGGCAUUUCUUGAGCAGGCGGGGAAGAUAUCUUAUUUCCACCUUCAUUCAUAGUUAGCUCCACGACAGCGAUCAGACGAGCCAAUGCAUCCGCCUUGAUCCUCUUUACCUUAUCUUUCGAGACAGUAGGGGAGCUCAACCUAACAUUCCAGCAGGCAAGAGGUCUGCAUGCCCAACAUUCUAGCAGCUCGUAAGGCCCGCUACCUCCUCAUUUCUCUCAAUCGUCGGCCUGGCCCGUGUCAAGUCUAAGAGCCCAAAGGACAUGAGCCAUGCGGCUCACCUAGCACCACAUUUCAACGCUUCAAUCUGAGGUCCUAAUCGUACAAGCUGCCCAUGGCUGAAGCCAAGUUGAGCAACCUAAAGCAGUGGUCCCUGCCACAACACCUCAUCGGCCCAUACCAAGUUGACUCCUGGCCCUUGAUAGCCAACGUGCUACACCACCCUGAUUGCUGCUCCGCGGCAGCACUAUCCAAGAAGAAGACAAGAAAAAUUUAAUUUUUCUUACAUCGGUGCGGCAUGGAGACGACGAAGAAAUCAAUGAAAAACGAUCAUUUGCACGGGCAAGAUGUAGAAGAUUGCUAGAGGAAGGGGAACAAAUAUCCUCUAAGUUCUCUCUCUCUUGUAGGGUAGAGUAAAUCACUCUCCAAAGUUGAUUUAAUAACCCACUUAAGGUGGACUUAAAUAGACUUUGAGAGAAAUUUAUUUCCCUUUCCUAGAAGGAUCUAAUUUCCUAUCAAAGAGGGAAUCUACAUAAAAACAAAGGAAGCAGUCCUAUGUUUCAUAAAACAAGAUCUCUACACCUGCUGCCCUUUCCUGCGAGCAGCCCAAACAGGUGUGAGGGCAUUUGUGGAGCCAAAAAUAAUCACAAGACGACACGUGGAUUUUUGGGUAAAAAGGACAAAAAUACCCUUAAGGCAUACCGGGAUUCCUACGCGCUAGCAACAUACCCUCAUCCGUCAAUCAAAACAAAAGUGCCCAAAAUAGGUAACAAAUUCAAAAUUAUUUCAUCCAUCCUGAUCCUAUAUUUUUGACAAGGUAAUCAUUCCAUAACUUACAAAAUAUUCCACAUAAAUCACAUAACCCCCAAAAUAUUUAUACCAAAAUGUGUUGAUUAACCAAUUAAUGGACUAAUUUCCUAAUCCAUUAAAUCACACAUUAAACCAUAAGUUACACCCUAUCCCUAUAAAUAGGCUCCCAUUUUCACCAAAAGACCAAUCCAACACUCUUGCUAAAAUCCUAUAGAAUUCUCAAACACUUUUUCUCUCUAAAUUCUAACUUUGGCAUCAGAGGUUCUUCGGCCAAAGCCCCCCCAUUCAUCGUGGGCGUGUGAGGCUCUUGGCCUUGACCUAAGGUGUUAAUUGUUUUAUAGGUGCAAUUUUGUCCAAGAUCAAGGAGGAAGAAAUUUGCAUCCACACUUACCAGUCCAUCUAACAGAGCCCGUCCGCAUCUGCUUGUUUGCAAACCCAUGUCGUAUACCGCCAUGAGUUUGACGAGGAUGUUGAAAACUAUUAGCAUUUAUGUUUACUUUAAUGUUUGGUUUCUUAAGCUUAGCCUGUUAGCAUUAGAGUCAGGUUUAGCUUUAUUAUAAAUAGCGUGCUUGUUGUUCGGUUGUGAAUAUGUUAGUCACGAUGUAGCCUCUUGAAAUUUUGUAGCCGUUUCGGCAUUCUCAGUUUGUUUAAUAAUAUUCUUAUUAUUUUGUAGUCUUAUUCCUUGCACACUCUGAUAUUAGGCACUACUAUAGCUUAUUAUAUGAUUAACAACGCUAAACCACUACAUUAUACUGUAAUUGACUUAUAUUACAGGAAUAAUAUUAUAAUCGCCAGUGGUGUCCGCUGGGAAGCUUCUCAUUGAUCUUGUCCAUAAUCCCCUUCUUUUCGUGGUGCUCCUCCAUGUAAGUGGUGACGCCGUAAGUAGUGGUGGUCAAAGUGGUAUGUGGUGUUGAGUAGUAGGGGUCAUCCUUGUGGCCCUCCGGCAGCUUGUCCUUGUUCUUGUCCUUCAUUCCCUUCUCCUGGUGGUGCCUUCCGGGGUAGGUGGUGUCGUAUGUUGUGUCAGUUGUGGUUGAACCUGGGAGCUUCUCCUUUAUCUUCUGUUUCAGCCCCUCUCCUCCCACCUAGCCCAUCAUCCUCAUAUGACUGCACCACAAUAAUUACAUACCCAACAUAUAUAAAUUCCAGGAGAAAAUAUAAGUUAAACAGUUUCAAGGUAAAUUUUGUUUGUCUCUUGAAAUAUUAGGAAUACCACCUCCCUAAAAAUAUAAUAAUUUGAGAUGAUACAAAUAAACAAUAAUUGUAUUAGGAUUUCACACACACGUUCCCUUGUGUGAAAAUAAUGUGGCCAAUUAAGUCUAACCCUUUUGGCUAGGUCGUUAUCUUUUUAGACAACAAAAUAAUGGUACAAAUAACAAAAUCUUAUGUAAAAUUAGUGUCGCAUUUUUAUAUGGGGAAAAGAGACUACUUACAGAGCUCGAGCUUGAGCUGCCAGAGCGAUGAAGCAUGCCAGUGGCACCAUGGUGCUCUUUCCUGCCAUAAUCGUGACCAACCGUGUCUUGAGCACCGUAUUCUCUGGCGAUGGAAGGAGUAAUGCUAGUAUUAGCACUAGACCUGUAAACGGGUCGGGUUUAUUGAGUUUGGGUUGGGUUCAAUCUAAUCCGUUAAUUUAACGGGUCAUCCAAAUCCAACCCAUUAAGUUAACGGAUCAUCCGAACUUAACCAAUUAAGCUAACGGGUCAUCCGUUAGCUCCGUAACAAUUUUUUUUUAAUAGUUCAUCCAAUAUGCAAAAAGACUCCUCUGCCUCCUGCUGCUCUUAAUUCAACCAAUAAUUAAGAAUUAUAACGUUUAAAAACACCUAAAAAUUAAAAAAAAAGGAAUAAGAAGAAAGGAAUUAGGAAAUUGCCUGCAUGAAAGCUCAAGAACUCGGACCCUCUUGGCCUGAGAGUCAUUGGAGCAACCAAGAAGGCAAGAACAUCAAGAAUUCCACAUAUUGUGAGUGACCAACUCCCAAAAAAAAAAAAACAGCGACAUGCUGCGGCUGCUGCCAGAUUGUAGACACCUCUUCCACCUCAAGUGCGUUGAUCCAUGGCUGCGGUUGAACCCUACGUGUCCUAUCUGCAGAAUGUCUCCAAUCCAAACGCCCUUGUCAACUCCUAUGGCCGAGGUGGUUCCAGUGGCUAGCAGGUGUGACUGAUUCAAAGAAGAGGUGGAAGGGAAUCGGAGCUUACCAGAAAGAGAGUAGUGAAGUUCAGUAAAAUUUUUUGAGGAAGAAGAUAGGGAGAUAACCAGAACAGAAGGGAAUGAGCACAACUAACGGGUGUUAACGGGUUUUACGAAUUCACUCAAAAUGACCCGUUAUUUAACGGAUGAUUAACAGGUUGACCCGUUAACCACCGAACCCGUUUAUCACUCACCUGAAUGCUAAUUUUAACGGAUCGAGUCGAGUCGGAUUAAUGAGUCAGAUGAAAAAUGACAGGUCUAAUUAGCACCGUGAUGACCAAGAGGGUUUCCGUACUUGUCCACUCGGGGACCCACCGGGGUGCUGUACUCGUCGGUUGCCUGGGUCGGGUUUCUGUGGGCAUUGGUCGGUGGUGGCCCGAACUGGUUAUGGUAAUGUGCUAUUUUUCAAUAAACACAAUGAAACCGUUUCUUUUUAUUUGAAAAUUUUGAAUGUACUUUGAUCGGAUUUGAUGGAUUAUGGAGUUAAAAGUUUGGAUCAGUUUAUGUAGGCAAAUGAACAGUCAUGCAUGUCACAGUGGGGUUCUUACUUGUUACACGUACGUGAAUAGUGACUUCGGUGCCUUGUCAACACGUUGACUACUGAGAAACGUGGCGGUGUGUGCAAGGGAAAAAUGUAUGUUCAUGUCGGCAUAGAAUAUUCAAGACUCUAGAUCUCUUCCACCAAAGCUUAACAAUCAAUUAGUCCGGAUUCUUAAAAUUUGAUCAAACGGCUAAAAUUAUUAUAACUUUUAAAUGAGCCCUCUAUUUGUAACCGUUAGAUUAAAUUUCAAAAAUUCGAAUUAAUUAAUUUAUGAACUUUGGUAUGAGAGUUCCGAAGAAAAUCUCUUCCGAAUAUUCAUGGCUAUGAUGAGAUGAGUCAGUGUCAACCUUGUUCGGAAUAGGAUUUCUCUUUUCUCUAAAUUUUCUAUUGUUUAAUCUAUUUUGUUUAAAAAGUCACAAUUAAGCAAAGUUAAUAUUUCAUGCCGUGGCAGAGCCACUAAAGAACAAGGGCAGUCAUGGGCCUAUCUUGCAAUUUUUUUUCCUUUUUUAUGUAUAAGAUAUAGCAUAACCUCUUUUUAUUUCUGGUAAAUUUAGUUGCAAUCUUGAAAUUCAUGGAUUUGGGAUUCUCUUAUUCUAGUUAUAAUGAUGUAGCUUCUUCAACUUGUUAAUUACUUCACGUUCAUCUUUGGGCGGAGGAGAUUAAUUUAGGUCGAAGUUUCUGACCGCGGUAAUUGAAUAAUUGUCAGGAUUUAUCACUUACUCUAAGAAUGUUGGCUGAUAUUUUUCUUUGUUGGCUUGAACUUCUAGUCCAUAUGCUCUUAAAUAUUAGUUGGAUUAUGUGACUAUAUGGUUGAUGCGGUAUGGGUAAUCUACCCCUAUCUUGCAUAUUAACCUAAUGAUUGAUGCGGUAUGAUAUUUUUCUGAGUUGAGAUAAAUAAAUCGAAAUACAACCAAUCUAUCUCGUAUUUUAGGCAUUAAAAAAUAAAGUUUCAUAAUUGUGAAAGGCCCCCCGUGAUGUAAGAUCUUGGCUCCGCCACUGAUUUCAUGUGACUUUUUUAUAAGCAAAUAAAUACAAUAAAAAUGUGAGAAAAAAGGAAAGCAAAGGGAGCGAAAAUUUGGAAAUUUGAAAGCGAGUCCUACUACGUCUUGUCGUGGAGAUGAAGAGCUCGAGACACUUCACCGCAUCUGUGAACUUGAAGAUUUAUGGCACGUUUACCUAAAAAAUAAUAAGAAUUGGAUUGACGAAGAAUUGAAUUAAGGAAGAGUAAGAAUCAAAUUCAUGCUGAAGCUGUUUACUUAAAUAUUCUAAAAUUGGAGUAGAAAUAAAACUGAGUUUAUAUAAGUUGUUUAUUAAUUCACUUAAAUCGAAAUAAAAAUCAAUAUGAUUACUAAAAUGCCCUUGUUCUUUUUUGUUUUAGUCAAUGUUCUAAAAUCCGCUAGGCGCUAGUUGGGCGUGUUAGUUACUCAAGCCCAACCCAAUCUGCUCAGUUCCUAUCUGCAAUGGCCAACCAAUGUGCGACACGCUGCACAUGUCACAUUUGAUAGGUUCAAUAGGUUCUUGGGUUUGCCCAUGGAGUUUGAACCUGAAGUGCCCAGUAGCAAUCGUCCCGCCGGCCAGCCUCUGACCUACACACAAAGAGAGAUCCCUCAGAUGACCAGAAGAAGGAGAAGACGAUCGGACAUCUGAGAGUCGCUAUGGAAAUGACAUCAUCAUCGGGCGGUGGAAGGUACAUGGCGUACUCGCCGUCACCGUCGGCACUUCACUCCCUUCACCUCUCUGGCCUUCGCUCCACCUCCUCAUCCGCUGCUCUCAUUGCCGCUGAGAAAGAAAAAUAUCUAUCUGAGCUGCUUGGGAAGCUUCACAAGCUGAGUCCAUUUUUGCCUGUGCUGCCGCAUUGCAACAAGUUACUAAACCAAGUGUUCUGUAUUUGCAGAGAGAGAGUUGUUGGUUGCAGGAGCACCAGUCUGUCACAAAACCCUUGUCUUCUUCCGUGAAAAUGAUAAACAAUGGCAGCCUGUUAGCCAAGACGCUCUACGAUGACCUGGCUUCAGGGAUGCAGUGGUCGUUUUCAAACAAGCCAAAAGUCGUUCUCUGGUGGGAUUCAACAGCCAAAGGAGCGGCAACAGAAUAAUGAAAAAAGAAUGACAAAAGCAAAAGAGUGAGGUGUAAGCUGUCACCAAUGAGUCAUAUUCGUCAGUUCAAGCAAGGCAAAAGCAACAAAGGUGCGAAGGAAAAGCAAAAGUAAUCAAGUGAGCUGCGGCAUAAAAGCAAAAGAGAAAGGCGCAAUGGGAAACAAAAGCGAAAGCAAAGUACAAAAGCCUGCAAAGCAGAAAGCAAAAGCAAGGAAUAAACAUCACAUUGCAAAAGCAAGGAAUAAACACCCCACCAGAAUGAUGUAAUUUACUUUUCUUGUUUUUGAAUGGUGUGAUUUAUUUUUCUUAUCUUUCGGAGACAUCUGUAUAAACCCCAUCAGAGGGUAAUAAUAAUAAAAAUAAAAAAAAAGGCAAGCCCAAAAUAAUGGGCUGCAAUGUUAUGUGGAGGGCGAAGGCCUAUAUGCCCAAAAGAGCCAGGCCUUAUGGCUCUAAAUUUAUUCGGCACCUUGCCGCUAUUAUCACCAAUCAGGUGAUCAAAAGUACGCCCAGUACUUCCAAAUUUAUUCGGCACCCUGCCGCUAUUAUCACCAACCAGGUGAUCAAAAGUACGCCCAGUACUACAAAAAAUUAUUUGGCAGCCCGCCGCUAUUAUCACCAACCAGGUGAUCAAAAGUACGCCCAGUACUCUAAAAAUUAUUCGGCAGCCUGCCACUAUUAUCACUAACCAGGUGAUCAAAAGUACGUCCAGUACUCCAAAAUUAUACAUGAGCAUCACUUAUGUCAAUCAUACAUAAACAUUCAUGAGCAUAACUCAUGUCAAUCAUACAUACAUUUAUGACCAUCAUUUAUGUCAACAUUCAUGAGCAUCACUCAUGUCAACAUCCAUGAGCAUCACUCAUGUCAAUCAAACAUUCAUGUCAACAUUCAUGAGCAUCACUCAUGUUAACAUCCAUGAGCAUCACUCAUGUCAAUCAAACAUUCAUGAGCAUCACUCAUGUCAAUCAGCUUUGAAAGCUUCAUUUACAUAGCUCCAGCUUUGAAAGCUUCAUUUACAGAGCUCCAGCUUCAAAAGCUUUAUUUACAAAAGCUCCAACUUCAAAACUUCACUUGCAAAGCUUCACUUACAAAGCUUUAGUGCAGGGUAUACAAAUACCGCCUCCGAACAACCGCCACUUCGGCCCAUACAUGGAUUGAAUUUUCAAGUCUCCAGCCAAAAGACUCUCUUGACUGAUGACUUGGGGGACUACAUUAUGUACCAUAUAUUGGGCCUCAAUUGGGUCUCAUGAAAAAUACUUGGGGGACUUAGCCUAUUACUUAUGUACUGAGGAGCGAACCCUUUUUAUAAAAGGAACUUCCUCACUUUCAUUAGAGAACACCCAUUAUUCAUGUACUGAGGAGCGAACCCUUAUUUUAUAAAAAUGACUCCCUCACCUUCAUUAGAGAGCAUCGCUGCCAGCUGAGCAACCGCCUCGCCGCGAACAUCACUCUAGCCCAUCACUUAUGUAUUAAGGAGCGAACCUUUAUUUUAUAAAAGGGACUCCCUCACCAUCAUUAGAGAGCAUUGCCGCCUACUGAGCAACCGCCUCGCCGCGAGCAUUAACUCUAACCCAUCACUUAUGUAUCGAGGAGCGAGCCCUUAUUCUAUAAAAGGGACUCCCUCACCAUCAUUAGAGAGCAUCGCCGCCUGCUGAGCAACCGCCUCGUCGUGAGCAUCAACUCUAACCCAUUACUUAUGUAUUGAAGAGCGAGCCCUUAUUUUAUAAAAAGGACUCCUUCACCAUCAUUAGAAAGCAUCGCCACCUACUGAGCAAUCGCCUCACCGCGAGCAUCAACUCUAGCCCAUCACUUAUGUAUUGAGGAGCGAGCCCUUAUUCUAUAAAAGGGACUUCCUCACCAUCAUUAGAGAGCAUCACCGCUUGCUGAGCAACCGCCUCGCCGCGAGCAUCAACUCUUAGCCCAUCACUUAUGUAUUGAGGAGUUAGCCCUUAUUCUAUAAAAGGGACUCCCUUACCUUCAACGCCACAAGCCGAGCCAACCAAAGCAACAUAAGCCAUAAACCGAGCAGCCUCGCAACAUGUGCUACUUCUAGUUGAGCAUUAUUUCAGAUUAAGCACCGUCUCAUAUCGAGCAUCAGUUCAAGACAACAUCUAGUUACUUCGGCCCACACAUGACCUGAAUUUCAAGUCUCCAACCAAAAGACUCUCUUGACUGAAGACUUGGGGGACUACUGUUUGUACCAUACUUAGGGCCUCCGUAUUUAGAUCUCGUAUAAAUACUCGGAGGACUCAAAUGUAAUUAUGUAAUAAAUAAAGGGGAAAAUAUGUAAUAAGUGAGGAACCCUUAGUCUAUAAAAGGACCCCUUAGUCUCCUCAUUAAGAGGCCAAUUCUUAGGCCUGAGAUCCCCAGAGCCUUACUCUCACUUUCAGAGAGGCUUAUCCUCACAUACAGAGGCUCUCUCCUUCACAAUCCUCUAAGAGAAAUACAAUAUCAGUGUGGACGGAGCCAAAACAUUGGGGUGAACCACAAUACAUCUUGUGUUAUUUACUUUGUUGUAGAUUCACGGUCGAAUUUACGUUGUUCCAAGACUCCUCCGGUUUUGUGCACCAACAAGGUUGAUCUUGAGUUGAGGCUGGGAACCUUUCUUUAGGAUGUGUUGUACUAUUGGCCCGCCAUUUUCUUCUUCGCUGUAGUUUGACAUGGAUUUAACUAUGGCCGGUCUUGAGAGCUCGAUAGGUGGCGCAUUGGAAAAUAGGUCGAUCUUGAGUCGAGGCUGGAAGCUUUGCUUUAGGAUGUGUUGUACUGGGGCAUACUCGACCUUCUCCUUCCUUUUGCUCUUAGGCAAACGGGCGUCUACCAUGCCAACUGUUGCUGAAGGGAAUGGAUCCGUAUCAACUGUCAUGCAUUUGUCAAGAAACUUUAACUUGCCUUUGUCAAUCCAGCUCUAGAUAUCAUCAUGAAAUAUGACACAAUUGUUUGUGAUGCUUGGUCAAAUUAUGAUAUUUGCAAUAUGUCUUUCCUUUAAGUUCUUCGGCCUUGGGAAUGUUAUGCCCUGGUUGAAGUUUGAUGAUCUUUGCUGAUAGCAAUUGAUAAAAAAUUGCUUCGGCAUUGGUGAUAUCAAAGGUAUAAACUUUUGAUAUCUUCGCUGUUUCUUCAGUGGUUGAGCGGGUUUUGACCUCCUUGGGAUUAAUUUGAGUCAAUGCCUUGCAAACGUAUGGUUUAUCUAUUACUAUCUCGGCCGUGUCCACGCUGACGUAUUGAGACUCCUCGUCUUCGGUCGAUGCAUAAUGACCAUGGGAUUUUUGUAAAUUAUCCCUCGGGAUGGGGAUUUCGAUAUUUUCUCUUCUCGGAGCAAAUAAUCAUAUUGCUCGACAUGCUGGGCUAAUUCAUACAUAUCCCGAAAGUUUACCCCCAAGAAUUUCUUUUUGUAAUCUACAUCGAGUCCGUUCAAAGCAAGUCUAACAAACUCGACUUCAGGGAAAGGUACUCGGCACCAAUUCCUAGCCGAUUUAAAUUUGGUAAGAUAAUCCAUUGGUGACUCAUCAAAUGCUUGAGCCAUCCUCGCCAAUGAGGAAACUGACAUUUCCAUUCCUGGCCGAUAUAAUUGCUCGUGAAAUUUCUCGACCAACUCUUCCCAGCUUUGGAUGGAAUUAGGUAGGAGAUUGAUAUACCAGGCAAAUGCUGAGCAUGUCAAUGAAAAAUUGAACAGUCGCAACUUAUGAAAAUCACUGUUAACAUCUCCGCAUUGCGCGGUGAAACGAGCCACAUGUUCUAACGAGGAUAAAGACAAUUCUCUAGCGAAAAGGCUAAAAUCUGGAAUUUUGAAACCUUUAGGAUAUUCGAACCUUUCCACAUAAGCUGGAUAUGGAUGGAUGAAUUUAGGGAACUUCGACCUCUUUUUCAUGGCCGAAUCAAUCAUCCGCUGGACCUCGGUCAUAUCGACGGAUGUUGCUUUCACUCUCUGGUCGGAUCCAUCUGACCUGCUACUCGAUCCUCCUCUUUUUUCUAAGUCAAUUGGCUUGAGCCGAGCAGGGAUUGGCUCGGCUUGUACUAUUGGUAACAGAUUAUUUUUUUGUGGCAAUUACUGGGAAAAAUCGAAGGACAUGUCGUCGCAGACCUUGCUAACCAGCAUUUCAAGCAAUUUGGUUUGCGUCUCACUGGUACUGCGUAUCACGUCGUGCAAUUUAUCGAUUCCUCGACUAAAUGUCUGUUCAACCGUCUGAGAUUGUUCGUCAAGUUGUCUUCGAAGAAACGAUCUUAUUGGUGGAUCAGAGGCUUAACCACCAUCCUCAUCACAGUCCUCUACUAUCCAUUUAUUGAGAACGUAGGUGUUUUUGUUAGGGAUUUCUAGACUGCGAAGUUAAUCGCCGAGACCAGCUCAAUUUUCUCGGCGAGUCGCGCUUGUGGACUCAGGUGUCAUGACGUUAAGGGGAUUCUGUGCCUGUGAUACAUUUUGUCCUUUGUUUUGGUAAAUCUAUUGUUGAUUUUCCCAUAGUUGUUUUCUUUUUAACCGAUCGUGUCUCAAUUGGCAUAAACUUCGUAGUUUUAGCACUGGGUCCCAUUAGGCAUGCCAAAAUGUUGACCCUAAAAACUACCAAACCUAUUUGGCGCACAGGCCGAGUAAUCUAUGAGCUAACUACGUCUUUCGGUUGUGUGCGGGGCGUGCCAACUCGGCGGUCAAGCUCGGCCAAGGAGUAAAAUAUGUUGAUGUCGUGUUGGGUGCGAUGCUGACUUCUUGAUCUUGCGACUGGGCCGAAGAAGGAACUUGUCUCGGCCUUUGGGUUCUAGAGCCUGAAGACAAGGCUGCUAACUUAGCGAAGUUCAAUAUCAAAUUCGUCUUCCAAUGUGCCGAAUGUAAUAACUCGUAACACCUCACUUCGCCGAGAAGGCUGAUGAGAUGACCUCGACCAACAAGGAUUCAGAAAUCCUUCUUGACCAAGACUUGGAUAGGUAACCAGUCGGCCUCGACGCAGUGCUGUUUAUGCCAACUGAAGAUGCUGCGAGAUCGGCUGAUUCUACGGUGACAGUGUUGUUUAUGCCAACUGAAGAUAUCACCAGUUGCCUCCACAGUGCUGUUUAUGCCAACUGAAGAUGUGUCGGCAAAAAAGAAAAUAAAAAAAUCUAAAAGUUGUUUAGAGAGUUUGCGCAGGGCAGUUUUGUGUGUUGAAUUGGAGGUGCUUGUUUCGAUGUCUUCCCUCCCUAUUUAUAGCAGCCAACCUGUAUUGAAUCUCAUUUGCUCUCAGAUUAGAACACCUUCUCAUAAUCCAACUUUAUCUCGACCAAUCCUAUUCCUACUAGGACUUUGAACACAACUCAUUAUCAAAUCGUAUUCAAUCUUAGCAUCCUGAUCCCGUCGAGACUCCCUCUCAUAACAGGAUUCGUCCACAUUCCACUUUCCAAUAGGAUAUGGCCCAUUUCGACCGCGCGACCCAUGGGUUGAAUAUCUUCUAAUGACACCUGUUUACCACUUCUGGGUCGAGGAUGAAUCUAAACUCGGCCUAUCCCACAUUGGGCCAGAAAAGAUCUAACUUGGCCCCAAACAGUAUUUUCCAGGCCCAAACAACUGGAUUUACUUUCACUGAGAUAUUUAUGAACAUGAUUUAUGAUAUGAUGUUUGAGCUAUUGAGCUCUGAUGAGAUAUAUUUUGGAAAGAUUAUGUUCAAUAAUUUUUGUGCUUAUCUAGUGGUCACUAUAUGCCUACGGGGCAAAUGAUAUCUAUAUAUGGCUUUGGUCGGGUGCUGUAAGGGCCUAUAGGCUAAUGAAGGCCUUCAAGUGAAUGAAGAGUUCUAUAUGCCUUCGGGCGAAUGAAGUGUUCUAUAUGCCUUCAGGCGAAUGAAGUGUUCUAUAUGCCUUCGGGCGAUACUGAUACCACUACUAAGCACACUAUAUAUGAUAUAUGUUUUAUGAAGUUUUAUGGCAUGCUAGGGUUUUCGGAAAACCUAUUACAUAUUAUACUAUUGAGUUUUCUUAAACUUUGGGGGUUAUUACGUUGAAGAAUAACUGUUUUAGUAUUACUUAUAUAUCAACUUGGUCCACUUAUGUUUUGUUUUGUGCCCCCUCAGGACUUAGAAUCGAGGCGUACAAUCCUGGCAUCAAGACACUCCAUCGUCGACAUCUUCGAAUCUUCUCGGUGUAGGAUCCAUUCCUUUGUUCAUUCAAUUUUAUAUUAUUCCUUUUUAGUGUCUCGAAUUAGUUGUAUGCUCUGAACACGUUCCACAAUUGCACACUCAUUAUAAUUAAAUUUACAAGUUUUAUUUAUGUCGGCUAUUUGUUUUUAGUUGUCAUGCAUCCUAUUAUGGAUUCGUCACCUUCGGGUGUUGACCAGCACAUGCCUACACUGGUAUGUUAGAGAAUAUCAGGGUCGGGCGUGUCAACAGGUUUGCCCGCUUCUUAUAUUAAGGUGUAGCCAUGCACACCAUAUGCAUAUUACGGAAAAAAUUUCACACAAAUUUCUACAAGUGAACACUUGAACUAGAAAUUGUUCCAUCCCAGUCUUGUAGCACGUCAAAACGUGAAAUUUAAUCCACAACCCAUACGCCCCAACAUGCAACACAAACCCUAAUUAACUUCUAAGUAUUAAUUCAUCUUACAAACAACCCAUUUAUUCCAUAAAUCAUUGAUGAAGGAAUUUGGAACUAAACACCCUACCUAAAUAUGCUUGCCGAAGCUUCAGUCGCUGGAAAAAAUGGAAAUUUUCGGCCAAAACAAAAAAUAUGGCAACUCACUCUUCUCACCUCUUUCUCUCACACACAUCACUUUGUUCGAAAUCAGGGGUAUGAGGUGAACCCAAAACCCAGCUCACUAAUCUCACUUCUCUUUGGACUUCCAUCUCUUCGAAAUCGAAGCUCAAAGAUCUGAGGAAGGGAGAUAGUAGAGAGAGAGAAAGUAAGAGAAGAGAGAGAGAGAGUAGUGAGAGAGGAGUCAGAAAUGGGAGGAAUAACCCAUUUAUAUGUGGGUAUUUUAGUAAUUUCGAUUUUGUACGUGGUGUGCAGGCCAGUUUGUCCUAUUUCUUUUUCAAGAUUAAGAAAUUGUCCCAUUUUGGGGUAUUUCCCUAAAAAUUUUGCAGUGUUCACAAUUAGCAUGAGGUGAAGGUGCCAGCUGACAGGUCCAAGUAUCAAAACCAUACUUGACAUGUAGUCUGUUGGUACCACACAUAAUGGUCCUCAGACUUUGAUACAUUGGGCCUCAUUACCCAGCCCAUAUGAUUAUGUAAAAGGAGAAGCCCUUUAUUCUAUAAAAGGAGACUUCUCCCUCCCUCACAAAGGGGACGGAGAAAAACCCAACAGAGGGCAAUACCCUCACAAACACAACAACACUCUUUUUCUCUGGGGGACUCCUCCUCACCCUUGUAAUCCAUACAUACAGUUAGAGAAAUACAAUCAGUGUGGACAUAGCCCAAACCUUGGGGUGAACCACGAUACAUCUUGUGUUAUUUACAUUUCAUGCAGAUUCACGGUCGGAGUUACGUUGUUCCAAGACCUCUGGUUUUGUGCAUCAAUAUUUGGCGCCGUCUGUGGGAAACGACACUUAUUCCCACUCUCUUCAGCUUUGUCAAGCUGGUUUCUACCAUUCGUACACUCUUUUUUAACCAGGCAUCCUUCUCCAACAUGGGGAGUGAAGGAAGCCACAUCACACAGAAUGACACCUCUCUUGCACCUAGAGCGAAGCAACGAAAAAGUGAAGGAAAAAGGGUUGCUCUUCAAGCUAAAGUCGAUGAGCUAGAAGCUCAGAACAACAAGAUAGCAAUGAAGAAUGAAGUCCUCCAGCAGCAGUAUGAGAAGCUCUUUGAGACGCUCCACGAAACUAGGCGUACUCAGACAUGCAAGCUUGUUGCCCCUAUGGAUAUCAACCAUCAUCUGGGUGCCCCCAACACGGAGGGUCACCUUCCUUCGACAUGGGUAUCCCUGAUGAGAAGCGAGCUAAUCAUCAAAACAUUGAUCAACGUGAGACUUCUCUCAACCCAGCUGUUUCGACCCGAAGCAAGAGAAGUGGAGGAAGACACCUUCUUGCGAAAGGGUUGGAAGGAUCGAAAACCGUUUAUCGUGACUGCCGAGACUUCCUAAAGCAACGUCGAGAGAAUCCCCUCCACAUAUGCUCGAAGAUCAAUAACCCAAGGGUUUCUGAAAGACUCGGUCCCCUCCCACGACCCAGGCCAGCUGCCAAUCUAGGGAAGGAACGACAGGUCCCUGAGGAACAUGAAGGUACAUGGGAUUCUGAGGUAUUCCGGCAAACUCACCCUAGAAGUCAGUACGGCGAGUCCAAGGAAAAAUCACAUGCCCUUGCUCAAACUUUCCUACUUCCAAGAGGCGAUGGAGACUUACGAAAGAAAAUCCUAGUGGUACAUGACUCUACUCAUGACCCCCUUGUCCUACGGCUCCUUGAGGAAGUAAACAAGUUGAAGGCCGAACGUCAAGCCGAGAUACCUGACUGGAACCAACCCAGGCCUGGCCCUCUCACAAAGAGGAUCCUCGACACCCCCUUCAAGAAAAGACAAAACAAAAGCUUGGUUUACAACUCUAUAUUGGAAGGAAAGACCCAAUUGAACACCUUAACCUAUUUGAGUCCACCAUGGCAUAUCAGAUGCACAUUGACGAAGAGCGAUGUCUUCUUUUCCCCUCCACCUUCUCUGGCGGAGCUCUAAACUGGUAUUGCCAUCUUCCACCUGAGACAGUAGACUCAUUUGAGAAACUGAGGAAACUGUUUGUUUCUUAACACAUUUUCAGACCGAUCGCUGGCAUUCUGCAGAUGACUUGUACACUAUUCGCCAGAAGCCAGACGAGUCACUAUGAGAGUAUGCCGAUCGUUUCAGCCAUGAGUAUUCUUACUGCGCUGAGGCAGAUGACAAGACCGCCCUCAAGGCCUUCACGGAAGGCCUACGUGAUGGUUUCUUCAAGUACAUGAUCAAUGCCAACACUUGGAAGACUUACUCUGAGGUGAUGGCACAGGCUUACAACCAUGCCUCCGCCGAGGCAAAGAUAUAUCAAGGGAAACCCCCCACAGCCACCCCUUAUCAGCAAGUAGGGAGUGGAAGCCAGAUCCAACCAAAUGAGAAGACCUCGACCUUCCAAACGGCAGCGGUACCUCCCCCUGCCUUACUUAAUACUUUGCCAAGUCAACAGACAUAUCAAUCUCAAGGCAAAAGGAAAGAUUUUCAUCCUCACCAGUCUCAUUUUAGUAAAAGGAGUAAGGGACACUACCGCGAUAACCAAGGGUAUCGCCAUGAUAAUCCUCGACCUCAGGCAGUCAACACAGUAGGUCAAACACGUGUCAGGACAACCCCUACCCUAAGGUAUGAGGCAUACACACCUUUGAAUGCCACAUGCGUGGCCAUUUACCCUAGCAUAGCACACCUGAUACCGAAGCCAAAGCCAAAGCACUCAGAUUACAAGCCCACGAAGAACACAGGCACGUUUUGCUGCUACCACGAGCAUAACGGCCAUGACAGCGAGAAGUGUAUCACCCUUCGUGAUCAUAUUGAAGCUUUGGCACGUGAAGGAAAAAUUGAUCAAUUCCUCCUUCACCCUCUAAGGGGUAACCGUAACCAACGCUAGGUGAAUGUGAUAUAUUCCAUAAGUGGUGGCACACCCAUAUCUAAAUCUUCCAACAAGGCCAUGAAAAAUAGCGAACGAGCAUUAAGGUCUGGCCACCAAGUGUUUCACGUGGAAGACAUCAGAGGAGGUAAGCAUUAAAAGCCUAACUGGGAUCCAAUAUGUUUCUACCCUGAGGAAGAAAGAGGUAUCAUCUACCCUCACAACGACCCACUGAUCGUGGAAGCUCACAUAAGCAACUUUGAAGUACGAUGAAUCCAGGUAGACACGGGGGCUUCGGUCAAUAUCAUGUUUGCUGAAGCUUUCAGGGCACUUAAUGUAGCUGAACACUUGCUCGAUCGCUCGAUUUUCCUUCUGAUAAGCUUCUCCGGGGAUAUCGUGCGACCUUUGGGGAGCAUACACUUACCUUUCACCAUUGGUACAGGCCCUUACACAGCUACCAUUACCACUAACUUCCUGGUGGUUGAUUGCCCAACGACAUACAAUGUCAUCUUCGCACGCACAUGUAUUAAUGAUCUCAAGGCCAUGGUAUCCACACAUAUGUUGUUGAUGAAAUUUCCAACCCCCUAUGGCAAUGGUUACAUCAUAGGAGAUCAACUUAGUGCAUGAUCAUGUUAUAACACUUUGGUCAAGAAACAGCACCUGCCUGUGCCCAAGGAAACCCUUUCUAUACAUGACCAAGUCAUAAAGACCAGCCCAGACGAAGCCAACUUGGAUCUUCACGGUGGCAACAGUCAACCCGCCGAUCCUCGAGAUGACUUUUUCACCCAGCAAGCACAACCCGCUGAAGAGUUGGAGAAGGUCUCUAUCUCAAAAGAUUAUCCUGAUCGCAUGGUGAAGAUUGGCACCACUUUGUCACCACCCAUUCGGUUGGCAUUGAUCUCUUUUUUCCAAGAGAACAUUGAGGUAUUCGCCUGGUCAUACGAGGACAUGCCAGGCAUCUCUCCCUAUAUCAUCUUUCAUCGCUUAAGUAUUGACCCCAAGACCAAGCCCGUGAGACAGAAGUGAAGAUUUUAUGACGCUGAACGGUACGAGGCAAUGAAGUCAGAAGUUGAAAAACUCAAAGGCAUAGGCUUCGUCCACGAAGUCAAUUAUCCAACGUGGGUAGAAAAUGUUGUCCUUGUUAAGAAGAAUCCGACCAAGGAAAGUCUCCUGCUCCAAAAGGUCUUGUGGAGAAUGUGUAUCGAUUACACUGACCUAAACAAAGGAUGCCCGAAUGAUAGUUUUCCUCUUCUUCUCAUAGACAAACUUAUAGACUCUACGGCAGGGUAUGAACUUCUGAGCUUUAUGGAUGCUUACUCAAGAUACAACCAAAUCCUCAUGAACCCUCCAAGAACACACAGCGUUCACUACUGACAGAGGACUAUAUUGCUAUAAAGUCAUGCCUUUUGGCCUAAAGAAUGCAGGAGCGAUUUAUCAGAGACUGGUCAAUUCAAUGUUCGCCAAAUAGAUUUGGAAGAGCAUGGAAGUUUACGUUAAUGAUAUGCUAGUCAAGAGCAAACAUGCUGACCAACACAUCACCAACCUAUCUGAACCUUUCACCAUUCUGAAGAGGUAUCGAAUGAGGUUGAACCCCAACAAAUGUGCCUUCGGCGUAGGCUCUGGCAAAUUCUUAGGUUUCAUGAUAAGCCAACGAGGCAUUGAGGCUAAUCUCGAGAAGAUCAAAGCAAUCCUCGACAUGAAGGAACCGGUAACUUCAAAAGACAUCCAGAGCCUUACUGGCUGAUGUGAUAAAAGUUAAGCACACAAAUUAAACCAUCUUUUGACAAUUGAAGUAUAUGUAUAAGUAGGGAUCAUUCUGGACUGGGGAUUAUGAGGGAUUGCUAAUCUAAUUGAAACUGACUUAAAAACACAAAAAUAAACUUAAAAACACUUAACAAGCCUCACAAGACUCCAAACAAACUUAAAAGACUCAAAACAGCACGAAACAACCAAAUAGACUCAAAACUGACUCUAGGGAAUUAUUUAGAUGAAAAUUGGUUUUAACUUGACCCAAGACACUUAAAACACACAAACCAAAACAGAUUUUAACUAAUCUAACACUUCAAAGUAAAGGGGGAUUGGGUUUUGGACGAAAAUAAAGUAAAACAAACAAAUUAAAGACUAAAACAGAUUUGGACGAAAAUUGGGAAAUUGGAUGGGUGAUGGUCUAGCUAGAAGGUCAUUCUCCACACAUGACACACUUGCAUACAAAUCAAUCUCCAAUUUCUUUUCAAUAAACCAUGAACCUCAACGCCCCAGAUUAACCGUGAAUUGCACUAAUUAACCCUCAGAUUUUCCUAAUUUCAUUGAAUUGGAUGAUUGCAUACAACAACCCAAAUUAUUCUCCACAAGUUCCCUACAUGAAUUGCAUAAUAGAGAUACGAGCAAAGAUCAUUAAGUUAUAUGAAAAUCAUAAGCAUUGACGAGGCACUUGUAACUAUGAAUUGCAUGAAACUUAUGCCAAGAAUUCACUUAACACGAUCGUGACAAGCAACCUUCACUACUUGUGAAUAUAAGUUCAUGACGAUUAGGUGAAAAUCCCUUAUAUUCUAGCAUCAAAUUCAUGCAUGCAAACUAAGUUGGCCACCUUAAUCAACAUACAAGAAUAAGUUUUGAGUAAAACAGUUAAGCGAAUUGCAUUCACAAUUUAUCAAAUCACAAUUGAAAGUAAUCAAUUCAUAUUGCAAGUAUAAUCAUGGUUUCGAAUUCCCCUCUAACUAUAAAGAAAUUAGUUCCUCAUGUUCGCAAUUAGACAAAGAUAACUUGAAUUAAACAUUGAAAACAAAGAUAGAAUACACCUAGAAACACUCCAUAUGGCUCCUUCUUCUCCUUCCUUAGCUGCGGCACAAGAGGAUUGUGGUGGAUGGAUGUAGGUGAUUUUUGGUAGAGGGUGGUGGUUUAAUUGCUGCACAAAGGGUUGUAUUUAUAGGGCUAGGGAAACCCACGAAUUUUUGAAGGAAAAGAAUGUGUAUUUGGCACAAUUCAUGAAGGAAAAGGAAUAGGGUUCACCAAAAUCUGAAGGGAAAAGGACUGCACAAUCCUAAGGGAAAAGGAUUGCAGGUUCUAGGGCUUUUAGAAAGGGUCUAGGCGCCAGAUUUUUAGGUGCUUCUAGAAAAGAUGUUUUAGCACCAAUUUAGGGUUUCUAGAAGGAUAAAGGUUCUAGAAUCUGAAAUAUAUAGUUUAAAUGCAUAAUUAUCCCUUAGAAAUAGCUGAAAUUAAGUCACAAAUUGAUUUGGAUAAGAUAUGAUAAGAUAAGGUUAGGUUAGGCAAGGAUAAGAUAAGAUAAGGUUGGAUAAGGUUUUGGAUAAUGUUCUUUCUUUUGAGCUGAUUUCUUAUCUUCCUUGACUUGAAUUUAUUUCUUCACUCUUUUCAGUACAUUCCUAGCCUCUUGAACUUCAAAUUCGUCCAUCCAUCUUGCUCCAUUCAUAAGCUAUCCAUUUGGUGCCCAAAACUGCCUAAAAAUGCUCCAAAAUGCACUUUCUUGCCAACUUUGUCAUAUGGACCUACAAACACACGAAAAUAGCUUAAAACACUAUAAUAAACACAAACAAACUAUGAAAAUGCAAGAAAACAAGCUAACUAAGUUUCAUAAAUAUGCUCCUUUCACUGGCAAGGUGGCAGCCUUAACUAAGUUCAUCUCUAAGGCCACAGACAGAUGUUCUCCUUUCUUCAAAGCACUUAAAGGAAGUAACAAGUACAUUACAUGGACUGAUGAAUGUGCUGAGGCAUUCAAGAACCUCAAAGACUACAUGAGUAAAGCCCCUAUGCUCUCCAAACCUGAGGUUGGUGACACUCUCAUUAUCUAUCUGUCGGUAUCGGCUUCAGCAGUAAGUUCCGUUCUUAUUCGAAAGGAUGGUAAUGUCGAACGACAUGUCUACUACGCUAGUAAGGCCUUACAAGAUGCAGAGACACGAUACUCGAACAUUGAGAAAUUGCCUCUAGCAUUGGUCAUAUCUGCUUGAAAACUUCAACCUAACUUCCAAGCACACUCCAUCAUCGUGCUUACCAAUCAUCAUCUUCGACAGAGGCAGUUGUCCCAGUUGAGCUUGAGCAAGCAACGUUCCGAGUCCAGAACUACAUGCAAAGCGAAAAUGACAAACAACUUACCCUCAACCUGGAUCUAGUCGAGGAACACUGAAACCGGGCUCACUUGAGGAAUGUCGCCUACAAGCAGUGCAUCUCCAACUACUAUGACUCAAGGGUCAAACCUCGUUCUUUCAAAGUGGGGGACUAGGUAAUAAAGAAAAGAUUACUCUGCGACAGAGUCCCAAGUGAAGGAACACUUAGUCCAAACUGGGAUGGACCGUUUGAAGUUGUUGGCAUCAGUUGCCCUGGCUCCUACAAGCUUAGAAGCUCCGAUGGCAAGACCCUUGGCCAUCCAUGGAACGCUGAUCACUUGAAGUACUAUUACAAGUAAACUCAUAUUGUACAAGUGUUAAGCUUCAGCCGUUCGGCAUCCUAUGUAAUGAAGAUUAUUUGGCAUGAAUUCAACAAAGAGGUGAUUAGACAACUCAAUCCUAAUCCUCUUACAUUCCGAGCAAUGAAACACUCGGGUUCAAAGCUUCAACAUGAAUGCUUCCAACAUGAAACAAAGUCUAAGUAUAUGUCAACAAGACUAUACAAAUAAAUGAACAGCUUCACAGUAUAUUCGAUCAAUUAUACAUUCCAACACAUUCAUACAUAAGCCAACUGUGCUUUGAAAGGAUUCAACAUAUUUUGUGUCAUUCGACACUUGCUACAAUAUGCCUAGACACCUUGCCCUUAUUCUCACCAACCAGGUGAUGAAAGGUGAAGAAGGAACUCAUCUUCAUGCCACCAACCAGGUGAUGAAAUGUACAACCCAUACUCUUCUUCAUGCCACCAACUAGGUGAUGAAAUGUACAACCCGUACUCUAAUAUCAUUUGGCAACUUGCCACUCAUGCCACCAACCAGGUGAAGAAGGAACUCAUCUUCAUGCCACCAACUAGGUGAUUAAAUGUAUAACCCGUACUCUUCUUCAUGCCACCAACCAGGUGAUGAAAUGUACAACCCGUACUCUAAUAUCAUUUGGCAACUUACCACUCAUGCCACCAACCAGGUGAAGAAGGAACUCAUCUUCAUGCCACCAACUAGGUGAUGAAAUGUACAACCCGUAUUCUCCUUCAUGCCACCAACCAGGUGAUGAAAUGUACAACCCGUACUCUAAUAACAUUUGGCAACUUGCCAUUCAUGCCACCAACCAGGUGAUGAAAUGUACAAUCUGUACUCUCUUUCAUGCCACCAACCAGGUGAUGAAAUGUACAACCCGUACGCUAAUAUCAUUUGGCAACUUGCCACUCAUGCCACCAACCAGGUGAAGAAGGAACUCAUCUUCAUGCCACCAACCAGGUGAUGAAAUGUAUAACCUGUACUCUCUUUCAUGCCACCAACCAGGUGAUGAAAUGUACAACCCGUACUCUAAUAUCAUUUGGCAACUUGCCAUUCAUGCCACCAACCAGGGGAAGACGGAACUCACCUUCAUACCACCAACCAAGUGAUGAAAGCAACUCACCAUUCAUUCCACCUACCAGAAGACGAGUGGUACAACUUGUACAUGUGAACUCUUAGCAUUCACAAAUAAUAAAAAACCCUCAAGCUUGACAACUCAACUAGAAGAGCACUUAUGCCCAACAAGAGUUAUAGUCACCAACAAAGUCUUAUUGCAAGCCAACAACUUCAGUGCAUGGCAUACGAAGAUCAAGCUAUUCAGCCCUUUUGCAUUUGCUUCAAACAUUUCCCCUCUGUAACAAUGCAAACACUACAACUCGUAGAAAGCUUCACACACUCUUGAUCAAGAUAGUGUGAAGCAAAACCAAUUUAUGGUGCCAACAAGAGCUUUAUCAAUGGAGGGCAACCACAAUUCUCAAAAGCUUCACAUACUCUUGAUCAAGACAGUGUGAAGCAAAACCAAUUUAUGGUGCCAACAAGAGCUUCAUCAAAGGAGUUCAACCACAAUUCUCAAAAGCUUCACACACUCUUGAUCAAGACAGUGUGAAGCAAAACCAAUUUAUGAAGCCAACAAGAGCUUCAUCAAUAGAGGGCAACCACAAUUCUCAAAAGCUUCACACUCUUGAUCAAGACAGUGUGAAGCAAAACCAAUUUGUGCCAACAACAAGAGCUUCAUCAAUGAAGGGCAACCACAAUUUUCAAAAGCUUCACACACUCUUGAUCAAGACAGUGUGAAGCAAAACCAAUUUAUGGUUCCAACAAGAGUUUCAUCAAAGGAGUUCAACCAUAAUUCUCAAAAGCUUCACACACUCUUGAUCAAGACAGUGUGAAGCAAAACCAAUUUAUGGUGCCAACAAGAGCUUCAUCAAUGGAGGGCAACCACAAUUCUCAAAAGCUUCACAUACUCUUGAUCAAGACAGCGUGAAGCAAAACCAAUUUAUGGUGCCAACAAAAGCUUCAUCAAAUGAGUUCAACCACAAUUCUCAAAAGCUUUACACAUUCUUGAUCAAGACAGUGUGAAGCAAAACCAAUUUAUGGUGUCAACAAAAGCUUCAUCAAUGGAAGGCAACUACAAUUCUCAAACCUUCGAAGCAAAUUCAAGACUGUUCGAAGCAAAUUCAAUUUAUAUGGUUCAUUUAAACCUUCGACUACUACAAGGUGUGGCUUGCAUCACAAUCUCUUGCUCAACAGUGUGGAGGAAAAAUUUGCAUAUGUUGUCUCUCCCACAUUUUCAAAUUCAACAAAGCUUCAUCAAUGGAGGACAACUACAAAUUCUCAAAAGCUUCACACUAUCUUGAUCAAGAUAGUGUGAAGCAAAAUCAAUUCAUGGUACCCAAAAAAAAGCUUCAACUCCAAAGCUUCACCUACAAAGCUUCAACACAAAACCUUCACCAACAAAAGCUUCAUCAAUGGAAGACAACUACAAAAAUGCACCAAAACUGCAUAAAAAACAGCACCAAAAUAGUACAAAAAAACUGCACCAAAACUGCACCAAAACUUCAUAAAACUGCACCAAAAAAAUGCAGCAAAACUGCACCAAAAACUGCACAAAACUGCACCAAAACUGCACAAAAUUGCACCAAAAAAUAAUGCAACAAAACUGCAUAAAAAAAUAGCACAAAAAACUACACCAAAACAGAACCAAAAAACUGCAGAAAACAGAACCAAAAAUCUACACCAAAAGUGCAGCUAACUUGUACCAAACUUGUACCAAAACUGCAACAAAUGACAACUACUAAAAUUGAGACAACAUCCAAUGCAUCAAAGGGUUUAAACUUUAAAUCCUUAUGCAUCACAUCUACUAAAAUUGAACUUGAUCACCAAUCACAAUACUUUACAACCCAAUUGAAAGGUUAAGUUUGCCAUAAUACAAACCUAUAAGUUAUAACCUAGUUGAAAAGUUUAAAAUAUAAGUUAUAUAACAUUUAUUUAUUAUAUGGUGCGGUUUUGAAAACCCAAAACCGAAACCAAACCGUUUUGUGUGCCGUGGUUUGGUUUUGAAAUCGAAACUGUUUCAAAACCGUAAAACCAAACCGUUUGGUGCGGUUUGAUUCGAUUUGUGUUUCGGUUUCGGUUUUCGGUUCCAAGUGCCCACCCCUAAUGAGCAUAAUAUAUACAGAUAUUUAAAGAACGAUGAAGUUUGAAUCAAAGGUGUAUAAGGGGCUGUGAAAAUGAUGGCAUUCAAACAAAACUCUGUAUGAAAGUAAAGGAAUAGAAAAAGAGAAAUAUGACACAUACCAUUUGUUUGGUGUUAACCAAUGUGAUUCAAGAAUGUCCAUUAAACCGUAAAUGACAAUAGAAACUGAGGAUCAGAAAGAUCAGACAAAAUCUCAUAUUUAAAAUCAAAGAUCAAAGCUGCCUAAAUACCAAACUAUUCAUUAAAAAGACUUAAAACUUAAAAAUUAGAUGAGUACAUCACUGAGUUUUGUAAGAUCAUCUAUGUUGAGAAAACGUUUAGAACUAAAUUUAUUAAAGUAACUGAUAUAUUGUGAUAGAGCAUGAGAGAAACAACAUAAAUAUCUUAGCAGAAUGAGUGGAUAUCAAGGAGAAUUAGAUUUAUUCAAUUUCGAUACAAAGAAAAUGAAUUAAUGCAAGAACAACAUUUAUGCACAUUGAGAAUGAAAUUAACUAAUUAACUUACUAACCCCUACUGUAAAUUUCACACCUAUGCUAAAACGGAUUUUGUAACCAAUAUCCCAAAAAUGGGGCAAAGGGAAAGAAAAAAAACCUUUGUAUGGUAUACUGCAGUGUUAUCUAUGUAACCAAACUCAACCCAGCAACCUCCUUGUAAACUUGGAAAUCUGUUUACAGAUUUUAUGGCUGUAGAAGAAAUUAUAUCCUGCAGCAUUAAUAUCAUUAAGACUUAAGUAUUUUUCCCAAGUGAAUACACAUGAAAAGUAUCAAAGAGAGAAAGAAGAAAAAAUUAUCAAAAUAAGAACUACACCCGUGUCCCAUAAUUUGGGCAGAUAGAUAUUUUGCUACCGAGGCAAAAUUCUCAAUAACCCAAGCAUCAGCCUAUCAAAUUAAGAAAUAUUCAUAAGGGAAAAAGUAAGCUUAAACAGGAUUUCAUAUGUAUGAACUCACUUUUGACGAUUAAUUAUUCAUCCUAUUACCAAAUAGUUAUUGGAAAUGGUUUAAGUUGUAAAACCUGACUCUUAUCAAAUAGCUGGGAUUAAAUCUCAAGAAAAUUCAUUCCCAGAAGUCAUUUCUACGCAAGAGUUGUUUCCAUGCUUUUUCACCUGGGUUUUCAUUUCGAGUUCAAUUUUUUAAGUAAAAAUUUAUACCACCCGCAUCUACAAUGGUAAAAACUGAGAAGGUAGGUACACAUCUUAAUCAAAGUGAAAAAUGAUGUCUAAGGAUUAUAUGUACCAUAUUUCAGCUAAUGAUACAACAACCUCUGAAAUCCGUGUUGCAAAUUUGGCUAUUCAAAAGCCUAUGAAUUUAUAGCCUAAAUCAGCAUCACACUAUUAAAUCACGUUAUUAAAUCGGAAUAGGAACAUUGAAAAACAUAUGAACUGAUGCCCAAGUUUGAUUAAUCCAACUUUAAUAGCUACCUAAUUCAACAUUAAGAGUUGAUAAGACAGUACAUAAAUCCCAAAUCACAAACGCCCCAAAUUUGAACAAAACAAAGAUGCCAGAUAUGGAACCCAAAGAACUCAUCAGGAAGCCCUGGCUUUCCUGGGUAAGAAAUUCUUCAAAUCAAAGCAAAAAACCUAAAGAUGGUUACCUGAAUUCAAUAAAAAUUAAAAUAUAAUUACUCUUAAGCAUGCUUUUUUUUUUUUGAAUAAAAAAAACUUGAAAAUAUCCCAAACAGUUUCUUACACCUCAUGUAUUCAAUAGAGCUUGAAUUUCUAAAGGGACAACUUGAAAUCAUAUAUGUAAGAGUUGUGUUCCCUCUGGCAGAUAAAACUGAGAAAGACAAAUCUUUCCAAAAUCCUAAUAACUUUACAUAUUAUCAAUUUCUCAACAAAAUACAUUGGUUCCAACACUAACAACAUAAAAACUUUUAAAAUUGCAAUCUAAACUAAUCUUUUCUCUCUUCCUCUCCCUGUCUGUAUUCCCUCUAUCACAUAAAAGGUAGAAACACAAAGCUUUCUAAAAUUCCAACUACUCCUCUCAGUUCUUCCCAAAAAAUACAAAUCCAUUUUAAUCCAACAAUUAUCAGUGCAUCUCCAAAUUGGAAAAAACCAGGACAGAAAACGUACCCGAAAAAAGGACUUUCCGAGCAGCUGAAGACAGCCCACCUAAUGGGGGCAAAAAUGACAUUUAACUGUACAAAGCAAUUCAGCAGCACCUAAACCCCAAACAAAUCAAGGGCAUUUUCGCCCUUUUACUAUUGCUGAACAGUGCUAAAACUCAACUGAGUUUUAGUAUACAUAAUUUGUUGGGUUCGUUUGUGGUGACGAGGGGAUCAAAUAAAAUUAAGCAUCUUGUAUAAAGUCUAAUUUGUUGGUUGAUGAGUAGAUACUUUUACAUUGGUGUCUUCAUCCAUCUCUCAACAAACCAAUCUGAAAUUACCAAAAUGUUUUCCUUUGAUCUAAAAAUUCUACUCACGGUAGCAUCCUCCUUGUUCUCAGCCUAUACCUCCGUUGAAGGAUCCAUGGUGUUGGUCCGUCCCAUGGCCAAAAAGCUCAUCCCCGUCGUCCGCUCAUACGUCUACUCAAAACUCAAAUCCCUUUUCACUCCACUCUCCUUUAACCUCACUUUCAUCAUUGACGAGCUCUACGGAGUGGCACGCAACCAGGUCUAUGAUACCGCUAAGGUCUACCUCCAAACCAUUGGCACCAGUCUUAGCAUUCAACGCCUACGAGUCGAAAAAACGCAUCGCCAAUAGACCAUCUGAUUUUCCAUCGACAAAGACGAAGAACUCACCAACACUUUCGAUAAUGUUAAGCUCAGGUGGCGCUUUAAUGCCAUGGAAACCAAGAAGGGAAGGAAUGAGUACUCCAGGGAAAGUUCGAAGCACCAAUUCUUUGAGCUGACAUUUCACCAAAAACACAAAGACAUAGUUAUGAACGCUUUCUUGCCUUACAUGCUUGCUCGGGCAAAUGCCAUUAAAGAAGAAGAGAAGGUUGUGAAGCUUUAUUCUCGUCAUUUAUGUUCGUAUGAUGACGGCAACAACAGUACUUGGGGAUUGAUAAACCUAGAGCAUCCUGCUACUUUUGAGACGAUGGCGAUGGACCCUGAGCUCAAGAAAAUGAUUGCAGAGGAUUUGGACAGGUUUGUGAGGAGCAGGGAGUUUUAUAAGAAGGUGGGGAAGGCUUGGAAAAAGGCUACUUGUUGUAUGGUCCUCUCGACACUAGAAAUCAAGCUUGAUCGUAGCCAUGGCUAAUUAUCUUAAGUUUGAUGUGUAUGAUUUAAGGCUUACUAAUCUUUCCAGUGACUAUAAAUUGAAGAGGGUGUUGUUGUCUACUACAAAUCGUUCGAUUUUGGUGAUUGAGGAUAUCGAUUGUUGCAGUGUUGAUAUACAAAAUCGGCAACCAGAGAAAUAAAAUCAAACUUCUAACACCAAGGUUUUGCUUCAAUUCAUUCUGUUUUUUGUUACAAAUGAUAUUUAUGUAAAUACCAAGAUGCUAUACAACAUACGUCAUUUGAUCCAAAAGCAAAAGUGGCAAUUCUGGAUGAGGCGCCACAAACAGGUCAGGCUUAAACAUUAUCUCAUUCUGUAUAUAUGCCAAAAUCAUUUUGUGUUCAUGAACCAUUAUCUAAUUCUUAUUCAAUACACAAAUAAUAAAUAUACAAAUCUGUUAACCUUGAGUUGACUCUCGACAUGUGCUCGGAAGAGGACUCUUCCAACAUCCUGAAAUCAUGUCAAGAGUUAAAAAGGAGCAAGGAAAAACUAAGGUAAGAGCUCUGUAAGUCAAUUCAGAGCACAUAAAAAUUUAAAUUCUUUAAUAAAAAACCCAAAGAGAAAAGCUGAAAUUAUAUACCUCAAGCACAAACAGCUUGGAAGCCUACACACAAUAGCCCCAAAAAAUGAAGACCACCGUUUCUUGAAAAUAAAAAGGGAACCAAAUCAUAAAACAAUAAAUUUUAAUUCAUUUACAAAUCCCAAACUACAAAAGCCCCAGAUUUAAACAAAAGAAACCACCCAUUUCACAUCUCGAAGAACUCACCAAUGAACCCUAGAAAUUCCUUCAAAUCAAAUCCAAAAACUGAUCAUGAGUACCUGAAUUGAAUAAAAAUUAAAAUACAAUCAAUUAACUGUUAACCAUUUUUUUCCCCAAUAAAAAAAAAGUAAAAAAAAAACCUUCAAAACACCCCAAACGAUCCCAAAUUCUCAGAUCCGUUCAAAGAAACUUACCAUGAAAUCACAGCAACUUCACAAAUCCUCUUCAUAUCUGCACCAAAAAUAACGAAAAAGAAGUGCAAUCAGCCCAAGAAACAAAAGAUUAGUAGAAACAAACCAAGAAAAUCAAGUAUGGGAGAAAAAUUAACCAUCAUCAUUUCUCCUUUUUUUAAUUUUCACACAAAAAAUUGAACCAAAAACGAAAGAGCACCCAAAUAUAACAAUUCCUUUAUUGCAAAGAGCUGAUAACUCAUACAACUCUCAGACUAAGGCAGGAAAUUAGUAUUAAAACUAACGAUUGAAUUACAAAGUGAAGAGAGGAGGUAAGUUCUCCUGAGUUGUACGAAUGAAGUAGCCAUUAUCCAGUACCAACGAAGAAAGAUGAAGACAGAAAACAGAACGGCAGACGAUGGAACCCGAGGUAUGCGAGAGAGGAAAGAGGAAAGCCAAAGAAAUGCGCAGAACGAUUAUGCUUCCCGUUUGACAGCAAAACAAAAGUGGCAAAGUUGAAAUAAUAACAAAAAAAGCAGGGCAAAACUGGGAGCACACUGUUAAUGAACAGUAACUUGUGUGUUGAGUUUUAGUAUAUGUAUAAUUUGUUGGGUUCGUUUGUGGUGACAAGGGGAUCAAAUAAAAUUAAGCAUCUUGUAUAAAGUCUAAUUUGUUGGUUGAUGAGAGAUACUUUUACAUUGGUGUCUUCAUCCAUCUCUCAACAAACCAAUCUGAAAUUACCAAAAUGUUUUCCUUUGAUCCAAAAAUUCUACUCACGGUAGCAUCCUCCUUGUUCUUAGCCUAUACCUUCGUUGCAGGAUCCAUGGUGUUGGUCCGUCCCAUGGCUAAAAAGCUCAUCCCCGCCGUCCGCUCAUACAGCUACUCAAAACUCAAAUCCCUUUUCACUUCACUCUCCUCUAACCUCACUUUCAUCAUUGACGAGCUCUACGGAGAGGCAUGCAACCAGGUCUAUGAUGUCGCUGAGGUCUACCUCUAAACCAUUGGCACCAGUCCCGGCACUCAACGCCUCCGAGUCGGAAAAACACAUCGCCAAUAAACCAUCUGAUUUUCCAUCAACAAAGACGAAGAACUCACAACACUUUCAAUAAUGUUAAGCUCAGGUGGCGCUUUAAUGUCAUGGAAACCAAGAAGGGAAGGUAGGAGUACUCCAGGGAAAGUUCAAAGAACCAGUUUUUUGAGCUGACAUUUCACCAAAAACACAAAGACAUAGUGAUGGACACCUUCUUGCCUUACAUGCUUGCUCGGGCAAAUGCCAUUAAAGAAGAGGAGAAGGUUGUGAAGCUUUAUUCUCGUCAUUUAUGUUCGUAUGAUGAUGGCAACAAUAGUACUUGGGGAUUGAUAUACCUAGAGCACCCUUCUACUUUUGAGACGAUGGCGAUGGACCAUAAGCUCAAGAAAAUGAUUGCAGAGGAUUUGGACAGGUUUGUGAGGAGCAGGGAGUUUUACAAGAAGGUGGGGAAGGCUUGGAAAAAGGCUACUUGUUGUAUGGUCCUCCUGGCACUGGAAAUUGAGUUUGAUCACAUCCAUGGCUAAUUAUCUUAAGUUUGAUGUGUAUGAUUUGGGGCUUAUUAAUCUUUCCACUGACUAUAAAUUGAAGAGGGUGUUGUUGUGUACUAUAAAUCGUUCGAUUUUGGUGAUUGAGGAUAUCGAUUGCUGCAGUGUUGAUAUACAAAAUCGGCAAUCAGAGAAACAAAAUCAAACAUCUAACACCAAGGUUUUGCUUCAAUUCCUUCUGUUUUUUGUUACAAAUGAUAUUCUUAGUUAUUUUUUUUCUUUUAACGAGCAUUGACAUAUCACGUGGUGUUAUAAUGAUCGCAGUUGGUGUCACUCUCGGGCUUAUUGAACUUUAUAGAUGGUUUGUUAUCGAGCUUUGGCGACGAGAGAAUUCUUGUAUUCACCACCAACAAGAAGGAUCGACUUGACCCUGCAUUGCUGCGUCUUAGUCGAAUGGAUGUGCACAUACACAUGUUAUAUUGCACGAUAAGCGAGUUCAGGCUUUUAGCCUCUAACUACCUUGCCUUGUCCAGGUAAACCCUUUUGCCAUUAACUUACGCCUUGUACAUGUCUAUUGCACGACAAGCGGGUUCAGGCUUUCAACUUGCAUUGCUUCUGUCCAUUUUGGAUCUUUCAAGGCUCCUUCCACUCUGAUGGGUAUUUUGAAGAUUUCCAUCUGUUGAACAAAUGCACAGUAUUGCGGUGAAAGUCGAUGAGUGACAUAAUUGGCAACGGAGUAGAUGAUUUUCUGCAUUCGGCCUACUUGGGUCAUCAUUAAUGUCCACCAGAUUUUGCCUGAGGCUUGAAUCAUUAUUCACUUCAUUGGGCCCACUUGGGCUCUUAGCAAUAUCAUAUUUUUUUGCCCUUUUGGGCUGGCAAAUUCUAGGCAUUUACGUCGCCCACUAGUGGUGGUGCCAUUUGGACUAUGACUGUCACGGUCAAGCAACCCAUUUAGGGAAUGUACACUAUCUUCUACGCUUAAUUCUUCAUUAUACCGAUCAUCGAUUAAGGUUUGCUCCCCCUGAGGAGUAUGGUUGGGAGGAAAAAAUAACUCGUCUUCAGAAAAGGUAACAUCCAUGGUCAUAUACGUAUGUCAAGUGGAUGGAUGAUAACAGCAAUAGCCCUUUUGUUGAGGACUAAAUCCAAGGAACAUGCACCGCACCGCACAUCGAUCAAGUUUGCUUUGUUGAUUUUUGUGAAGGUGAAUGUAUGCCACACAACCAAAAACUCGUGGUUCUAGGUGAAGGGUGGACGAGAGCGAAUCAUGAUCGGCAAGCAUGGCCAAAGGUGUUCUAAAAGAGAGUACACGCAAUAGCAUCCGGUUCAUGAGAUAAAUAGCAUAGGUUACUGCAUCUGCCCAAUAUGUCUUGGGUGCAUAACCACCAAUAAGAAGGGCACAUGUAAUCUCAAGGAUGUGCCAAUUUUUUCGUUCAGCAAAGCCAUUUUGCUGUGGAGUCUGAGGGCAUGUAGUUUCAUGGAGAAUACCCGUUUCUGUGAAAAAACUGAGAAAAAUCCUGAUUCAUAUACUCACCACCAUUGUUUGACCGAAGCACUUUAAUAGGGAGUGAAUUGAGUAUUGACCAUGUGAUAAAACUUUUGAAGAUUUCACCCGCAUCGCUUUUAUUUUUCAUGAGGUGCAACCAAGUCAUUCUAGUGCAGUCAUCAACAAAGGUUACAAACCAAUGCACACCAUGCUAAGUAGUAACCAGAGAUGGCCCCCACACAUCCGAAUGAAUUAACUCAAAAGGAAUCGUUCUUUUAUUCAUACUCAGAGAAUAAAAAGCUCGAUGGCUUUUAGCUAAUGUGCAAACAUUACACUUUAACGAAGAAUAAAAAAUAUUCCUAAAUAAUAACGGAAGUAAUUUUUUCAAAUAACCAAAUGAGGCAUGACUUAGCGAUGAUGCCAUAACUGGACAGUCUUCAACUUUUCAUUGUCAUGACCUUGAACUUGAUGAACACAGCCCUGUCCAAGAUCAUCAACAUGGUCUAACCCUCUUCUCUUAGUAUCACGCCGCCCAAUGAUCACCUGAGUCUGGAUAUUCUGAAGUAAACAUAAAGACAAAAACAUUACCACAACACAAUUUAAUUGCUUGGUGACUUGUCCCACACACUGUUCUAAAAAUCCUCGACUAUCGCCCCCUAAGCGCUAGGCGGGUGGCCACCACCCCGAUUAAUGCCUAGGUGUUUGGAAAUUAAGAAAAAUGCACCUAGGCACCAGCUUAGGAUGCUACUCGCUUAGACAGAAAAUAGAUAACUUCAAUUUUGCAUAUUAUUUUUUUGGGUUAAUCUCUGUUUACUACUCUGAAGUUUCGUGAUUUUCAACAUUUGGUACAUGAAGUUUUUUUCAUCUCAGAGUCAUACCUCAAGUCUUAAUUUUGGGACAGUUUCAUACAUCCGUUAAGUUUUUCGUUAGAAAUUCUGUUAACUAAUGACGUGACACCCACAUGGACAAUAAUUGAGCGCCACAUGUCAAUAUGGGCCUACUUCAAUAUUAAAAAAUUAAAAAAAAUACAAAAAAAACCUAACCUUCCCUCACCCCCCGCACCCUUUCCCUCUUUAUCUUUUUUCCCUAGCCUUCACCAUUAUUGUGCUGCUUGCAGGUUGAGUUGGAGAUCUGAGAUUUGGUGCAUAUCAAGAAAGCACAACAGCACGAGGACAGACAGCAAGAUGCAGUGCAGCAGUAGGCAGAAGCACAGCGGCAAAGCACGACAAAAAUUUGUGCAGGAGUAGGGCUUAGGAAAAUCUGUGCAGCGGCGUUCCAUGGCAAGAUAUGAGAGAUGGCUGUGCAAUUAGGGUCUGUGCAAUUUAUAGACCUAAGAGAAUCAAAUUGAAGGAAGUAUGUCAAAGGGAAUCGAGGAAUUCAGAAGGGAAAGAAAGCAAAAUUGAAGGAAAUCAUAAAGGAAAAUCAAAAGGCAAAAUUGAUGGUGGCGUGAUGAAAAGCAAAACAACUUGGGAUGCCUGCACGUGGUCACUCCAAAGAAGAUCAGCUCCUUUUUAAGUGUGAGGGAAGAAAUCCUCAUAGAAGUCUAACCUAAAUCCCAGCACCUCACCCAAAUCCCACCCCACCCAAAUCCCAGCACCUCUCAAUUUUCCAUCAAUUUGACCCAUUUGGGACUGGGAGCCAAAUUGGACUAGGAGUUGGAAUUAGAGGUUUCAGGGGAAAUGGGAAAGACCCAGAUGGCAAUCUGAUUCACCAUUGGAGAUAGAACCGGAUAUGGGUAUUUGCACAGUGUAGAGCUCAGAUUCGUUCACAAUCAAGCUAUUGCAGAAGAAGGCUUGAGGUUUGGACUUGCAGGCGACAACGUUGGCCAACGUCCACACAUUCUGGCAGAAGCUAGUGACCUCGGCUAGGAUCAGAAGGGAGAGAAUGGCAGUUGCGCUAUGCGAGGCGACGCAUCGGCAUGUGAGGAAGAUGAAGAAAGUGAUGAGGACGACGGCGGGGGUGCUGUGGGCGAGGAGAACAGAGGCAUGGAAUUGGAGAAGAGAGAACGGAGAAGGGAGGGAAGGGUGAGGGUUGCAAAAGAAAGAAAUGAGGGAGAGGGUGCGGGGGUGAGGGACAAGUGGGAAAUUUUUUAUUUUUUUUUAAUAUUGAAGUGGACUCAUAUUGACACCUGGCGCUCAAUUAUUGUCCACGUGGGCACCAAGUCAUCAAUUAACAGAAUUUCUAACGGAAAACUUAACGGAUGUAUGAAACUGUCCCAAAAUUAAGACUUGAGGUAUGACUCUGGGAUGAAAAAAACUUCAUGUACCAAAUGUUGAAAACCACGAAACUUCAAGGUAGUAAACAGAGAUUAACCCUAUUUUUUUUCAAUAAAUUGUAAGAAACUUGUUGAAUACUUAAAUGAACACACAUUAUAUGCUUGUUCCCCAUGUUUUCAUUAUGUUCCAAUACUUAAUAAUAUAUAUGUGAAUUGAUUUUGUAGUUUAUGAUGAAAUUAUAUAUUUUUUAAAUAUAAACAAACACUUAUUUACACGAAAUAUAAUAUAUUUAUUUAAAUCAGCCUAGUCUGCCUAGGCCCCCGCCUAGCCGCCCAACUACUGCUUAGCGUCUUUUAGAACUUUGGUCCCACAGAUAAUAAAUGGCUAUAAAAUAUAGGGACGAGUAAACUGUUGUGUAAAGAGAGAGUAGGAGUGAAUGCAAUUGAACCUGCCCCUGUGGCCGGGGCAACACUUCCAUUUGUUGUGAGAAUACUAUCCCGUGAGGGUGUUGUUGUGGAAUUUAAAAGAGUAUGGUCAAAAGUCAUGUGAUUAGUAGCACCGGAGUCAAUAAUCUAACCUGUAUUGGGAUUACCUGGAUUUUCGGUUUGUUAUUACAAGGAAAUUAAAUUUAAUAGGGAUAGCUGUUAGGCCAAGUUGUUUAGGUCCAAUUCUACAAUCUGCUUAAAGUCUGCAGAUGGGCCCAAGGUGUUUCCUUCACUGACGUCAGCGUUGUUGCUAGUGCCUCCACUUGAUUGCUGCCCUACCUGACUUUGGGCUUUAGGCUCAGCCAGCCCAACACGGUGAAUAGAAGUACCUGGUCCACUGGAAAUCAGGGUCGUAAGCCCAGGGCCAAAGUCUGCCACCUUGGCUUUCGCGGCUCUUCUAUUCGGUUUUCCCUGACCUUGUUUUUUUCUACGCUCUAGGAACCACUCCCGGUAGCCGUGAAUUUCAAAGCACGUCUCUUUUUUAUGGUGAGUUCCAUUGCAGUGUAUACAUCGAAGUUUGUCUUUUUCUACGUCCUCUAAUUCACGUAGAGAACGUGAUGGCCCAAAUAAAGGUUUGUUGAUCAUGGUCAUAGAUAGGCCAUUAUCACUUUCCUUUCCUCCAAGCAUGGUGGUUUUUCUUUGUGCUUUACGCCGAAUGGUGUUAAAGCACUAUUCUAUUCCAGGGAUAGGCUUCAUUCAAAAGAGAGUGUUGGGAACUGCAUCCAAUGAGUCAUCUAGUCCUACAAGAAAAUCAUACACCCUAUCUUUUUGAAGAUCCUCUUUUCUGCUUCUCAAAUCAGUAACAUAUAUCAUUCUAUUUGGACGUCGUUUGUCUAACUCUUGCCACAUGCCUUUUAGUUAUGCGAAGUAUAGAUUUAUUAGGCAUCCAUUCUGUUUUAUCCUUGUUGCUUUGCAUCUCAACUCGUAAUUCUGAGAUUUGUCAGCCCAAUCAUAGAACAUAUGAGUAACGUUUUCCCAAAUAUUAUGAGCAGUCAAUAAGUUGAUAAAUAGCCCUAUAAGAUGCAGCUCCAUGGUUUUCAGUAACCAACCCUGCACGAUAGCAUCCUCUGUAUGCCAUUAGAAAAACCAGGAUCGGUUUCUUCCACAGCCGAAAUCUUCCCAUUGAGAUAUCCCAUCUUGUGUCAAACCUGCAGCAUGAACCUCCAUUAUCUUUGACCAAAUUUUGUAGUUUGAAUCCCUUAACUUGAAUCCAAAAGGCAAAGCACCUAGAUUGGACACUGGAGCUGGACCUACAAUGGGAAACCCAACUUCUUGUUCAUCCAUUUAGAGCGGCAUGAUAAUUGUACUUUUGUGGUUUUGUUCUAUGGUAUGGAAGUCUGGCCAAAGCUGCGAUGCCUUUCAUCUUUGUAGAAACAAUGUCCAGUCUUUUCUAUCUUUUUUGUCUGAAACUUGGCACAAUGAAUUUAUUUCAGUCUCUUGUUUUAAGACCUACCUUGUUUUCUUUGAUCAAAAUUGUUGUGGUUUUGUUUUGUUGUGGACGACUUGGGUUUAGAGGAAGAGAUAGGCCGAAACCUCUCUGAUACCAAGAUAAAAUUGUAGUUUAGAGUUCUAAUAAUUCUUGUUAUUCUUCUCCCGUUGGGAGGUAAUAUAUAUAUAACUCCAAAACUUGUGAUACAAGGAAUUUUAAAGGAAAUACAACCAAAGUAGGAAACACACCUAUAUUCCUAACCCUCCUAGGAUGUUGAUUCUCGUCAACAUCAUGAUGACAAUCGACGUCGCUUAUGUGGGGAGAUUGAAGGGUUGAUAGAGAGCACAGAGGUGACUCCUGCUGAGGUUGCUGAGAGCUCAUGAAGAGCAAUGAUGCUGAAGUUGCUCUUCAAGGACUUGCCAAUUUUCUCAUAGGAAAGAAAGUGAGACUGGGAGUAAUGGAAUAAUGGAUGAAGGGAUUAAGAGCAUGUGUAGAACUGUUUUUAGAAUGGUUAAAAGUUCUUUUUUUUUUUGGAUAAUCUGACACGUCCCGACCCCGAUAUUCCUUGAAUACUCGAAUAGGCACGUGCUGGCCUACACCCAAGGGUGACGAAAGCCAUUUAUUGAAUACAAGAGUAAUGAUUAGGAGGAAAUAUACAUGAAUAAUCAUUAGAAUAUAAAGGUAAUAAACAAAGUUUAAGAAAAUGUCUAGAGUGCACAGAAUACGUUCUAAUUUAAGAUCACAAAAGGAAAGAUCAUUACAAGAUAGCACACAAGUGAAUGAUAGACUGUUACUGGUAGGGGAAUGCCUCGUACAUUGUGUCGUAGUCCUAUUUUCUAAGACCUGAAUGGGGGCGCAAAACAAAGGUGAGUGGACCAAGUUCAUAUAUACAAUAAUAAUAAAAUAGUUAUCAAGAUACUAACCCCCACAGUUUAUAUAAAGAAAACUACUAGCAUAAUAAGUGAUAUGUUUACUGAAAAACCCUAGCAUGCCAAAAACAUCUCAAAAGACAUAUCGCGGAAAUCAAAAUAUCAAUCGUCUCACAGAUUGUCUCGUAAGGGCGGUGUGCUACCAGUAAGAUCACUGAAUAAAUAUAACUCUCGGCCCUAUGCCAGCACCGUGGUCUCUGCGCCCGUAGCCAGAGAUUAUCAACUCCCGACCCAAUGGCUGCUUCGUGUCCCUCAGCCCGUAGCUAGGGAAUAUUUCUUCCGGCCUAACUGCCAACACCAUAUCCUCCCCUCAGGCAGCAUAGUGUCCACUAGUACGCACAAAUUGUUACGCCUCUCAAAUAUAACUACUUCAUAGUAUAAAGUCAUCCAUCGUCUAUACUAUAAAGAGGGGUUUUGAAAACAUGUUCUAGCAUCCUAUCGUCAUCCAUCAGAUAGUUUACCAAUUCAUGGUUUUUAUAGAAAAUACGAUAUAUCAAACUAUAGCUCAAUAUAGGCCAACAAUUAAUUUCUUACAAAAUAACGAGAUGAUAACCAACAUUUCAAUAAACAUGCUUAACAUAAAUUCAGUUCAUAAACUCGUAAGACAUGCAUUUCAUUUAUGCAAAAAAACUAUAAAAUUAUGCAAAUUUUAGAAGGGGUCCACUCACAGAUACUCCGUAGCAGCAGAGUGGUGCGGAAAAGAAUUAAGGAAAUCCCCAUUAGCAACUUCACCUAAGCACAAAAAUGUACAAUUUAUCAAACUAUGCCCAAACGAUAGAAUUCCAUGAACUAGACGCCAAAAAAGGACUCAGAACAUUGAAAUUGGCCUAGGAGAGAUUUUGGGUUUUGGGUCCUAAGGUUUUUAGUUAAAAAGGGUUAGGGUGAAAAUGGGUGAUUUGGGCUUAAACUCAAACCCACACACACACACACACACACACACACAACACAACACACGCACACACAUACGUGCACCACACACACUCACACAUGCUUACACACACACACACUCACACGGACACACACACACACACACCAUACACGUACACACCCACACACAUGCACAGCACGGCCCGCAGGCCAAGUAAUAAAAAAGGGAUGGGUUUAAGGCCCUAGUUAAAAGGAGGUGGCCAAAGGCCCUAAUGUAUCUUGGGUUUCUAAAUAGAAAAUAACUAAAAUUAAAAAGUGUGUGGGCCAGGGUAUUGGACUGGUCUAAAACGGGCUAAGGCCCGUUGGUGCUUUGAACGGCCUGAAGGCCUGCUUUGCAAAACGGGAAAGGACGCCGAAGCUGCUACAGCUCUGGCUGACGACGUUCAAGUAAACCAACGUCCAAACCAUGUAGCAAAAUGAAGAGGAAGAGAGUGGAGUAUUUUCAUACCCUUGCUUCACCGUGAACGACUGUGAGUGUUCGGAAAAACCCUCAAAGGUCACGAGUUCGCUGGAAAGUUUGGGUGAGCCUCCCCCACGUCAUUCCCGUUCUCAAAACCUUGGAAGAACAAUGUAGAUUUCAACACACAACGCCCAACAACAUCAAUGGCGAUUUCAAAAGGAAUUCAAACUUACCUAGCCGAAAAAAAAUAAAUGAAGAAAUCCGUCGGAGGUCUUUUCUCGGGAUUCCCCGAUCUCGUUGCGACAGAGAGAGAGAAAGAGAUGGCGCAAGGAAGAUGAUGAUGAUGAUGAUGGUUUACACCAGGAGCUACAUGCAGGUUUGUUUGGUUGGUCACGGUGCAGAGAAAGAAAAGGAGAGAUGAGAGGGAGGGCUUGAGAAGAGAGAAAAGAGAAGAGAGCUAGGGAGCUGCUACUUGGCAGUUUAGGAGAAAUAAGGAUUCUAGAUCAAAGGUUAGGAUUAAAUGAGAUAAAAGAUUAAAUUGAUAGACUUAAACAUGUUUCAGGGAGGAAUAUAGAAAUAUAAAUAAAAAUGUGGGGGUGGGUGUAACAUAAUCAGAAAGAAAUUCUUACCAUGUUUAUUAGAAAAACUUAAGACAUUUACUUGGAAUUUUAAACAAAAUUUCAGCAUGUUUAUGGUAAAAGUGCUACUACGAUAAAUGCACCCUUCUUCGUUACCAAGCUCGGAAUGUUAUAAACUUCUUUAAAAUCCUAAUUGAAUACAUCCGGAUUUCUAAGGAUUUUAAUAAACUAUCUUAACAUUCUAAUUGAAUACACCUUGAAUUUGAGAGAAUCACUUAAAAUCUUGAUUGAAUACCCCUAGAUUCAUUAAAAGAAUUAAAAUCCCUCAAAAUUUCAAUUGAAUACACUCCUUUAAAAUGAUCGUCAAAAUAAGAAUAUCUCAGUUAGGGGGAGACAUCUGAAGACAAUGGAUGAUCAAAGUCUAAGAAGGGCAUUAGCAAGAUGAGUAGUGGCUUAUAUUGCAUAGGUUGAAAGAACGUUUGUUUAUAAGAGUUUUUGCAAGAAACAUUUUCAGUAGAAGUAUAUAUUAAAAUUUUAUAAUCUAAGUGUUUUCUAAUGAAACUUUUAGAAAUGCCUUAUCGAAGAAAGCACUUUUAUAAAUCACAAACAUUUAAAAAAAAAAAUUACCGACUAUUGCCGAAAACGCUUUUAAUUGUCAUAAAACGCUUUUAGCCUUUUCAAAAAUAAUCUCAAAGAAACAAAAUGAAAUAAUUUCUUUAAAAUGGGUACGAGUGUUUCGAGAAAUCGAGUGCUCUGAUUGAAUGAAAACAGUACUAUUUGGGCCUAUGCCCCAUCACCAAUUGUCACCCAAACACGGAGCCCGUUUGAUUGAUAGUCUUCGUCUCCAGACCCAAAACCUCCACUCAAUGGUGGUUCGCGCUUGAAUUGAACCCUUUCCUCCGCGAAAUCCUGAAAAGCAGCGAUUGCAUCUACUCUGUAUUUCCAGAUCUGCAAUCAUCCAUAUAUUACUGAAGAACAAUACAAUCCAAACUCCAAAUCCGAAAAGUUUUCAAUUUCCAGGAAACAUGGAUCCCGAUUCAGUGAAGUCCACUCUCCAAAAUCUAGCAUUCGGAAAUGUAAUGGCCGCCGCAGCCCGUAAUUACCAAAAGGAACUGCUUUCCAACGAGAAGGUGGCCGCCACGAGCUCCUCCAACCAAGAAGUCGACCUCGACGAGUUGAUGGAUGUAAGUUCUGGGUUCGAUUCCAUUCGAUUUGAUUCAAUUCUGCAUCUUUCAUGUGCAUUUCAAAUUCCCAAUUCGCAAACGAUGGUUUGUUUGAUUAUUUUGUGAUGAGUAGGAUCCGGAGCUUGAAAAACUGCACGCGGAUCGGAUUAAUGCUUUAAAGGUUCAAUAUUUUUCGUGUUUGAUUGAUUUGCGGAUGGGGGGUUUCUUGGAUUUGUGGGUUUGUUUGGAAGGUUUGGUUUGAAUUUUUGAAAUUUUGAUCUUGUUUGAAUAGAAAGAAGCUGAGAAGCGAGAAGCUUUGAAGAGGAAAGGGCAUGGAGAGUACAGGGAUAUAACUGAGGGGGAUUUUUUAGGUGAAGUUACCGGAACUGAAAAGGUCAUCUGCCAUUUUUAUCACCGGGAGUUCUAUAGAUGCAAGUAAGUGCAUUUUGGUCUAGAAAAUUUAGACAUGGAUUAGUGAGUUUGUUUUGAACUUACGUUGCUUGGUUAUUUCUAGGAUAAUGGAUAAGCAUUUGAAGACGCUUGCUUCGAAGCAUGUUGAUUCUAAGUUCAUCAAGCUGGAUGCUGAGGUUGCUGUGAACUUCACUUCCUGUUUUGUGUUUUAGUUGGUGCAACUUUUCGUGUUUACUUGGAUUGAGCUUACUUGUUUGCAACCUUCCGUUUUUGGUCCUUUAGUUAGGUUUAGGGUUUAGAAUUGGGAAUUGAUUAUUUGAUGAUGAACUGCAGAAUGCGCCCUUCUUCGUUACCAAGCUCGGAAUCAAAACUUUGCCUUGUGUCAUACUCUUCAGGUCAGGCAAUCUCCGUAUAAUUAUUGUAAAUCUGCGUGCAUGUCCAUUUCGAGCAUUAAAGAGGCAUAUGGGCAUCCACUAUUUCGCUGUUGUAUGAAAAGGCAGGAGAGCAACGAGAGCUGGAAAUAUAGUAAUACUGUAAUUGCGCAAUCAUUUGACGUGUGCUUCAAGAGCAUGUGAUAACUUUCAUGCUAAUUCCAUCUUGCACUGAGAUCUUCCAUUGAAAUUCAUAUUUACGGAUUCAGAGGUUCGCCUUUUUUCAGAAAAGGAGUUGCUGUGGAUAGGUUGGUUGGGUUUCAAGAAGUGGGAGCAAAAGAUGAUUUCAGCACAAGGGCGCUUGAAGUUGCACUAAUCAAGAAAGGUAAUGGCUUUGUCAAGUGUGUUUCACAAUUCGUAUCCUGUUGCGGAGUAUCUAAACUGCCAAUUUAACAGGUAUAAUUAGUGAGAAGAAAGAAGACGGUGAUGAAGAUGAUGGAUAUCUUGAAGGCGGUCGCAGGACAGUGAGAUCGUCUGUGAAUCUUGAUUCGGAUUCAGACUGAAACCGCAACCUGAGUUUUCAAAUGCGUUGUAUGCUUGUUGUGGCAUCUAAUUUAUGUUACCAUAUGAACGGAAUUUGUGGACCGCAUUUGCAGUGGAAAUAUAUUCUUCCAGGCAUUCAUUUUGUUAUUGAUGUUAAGUCAGUCGCUGUAUCUAUAGACUUUUCUAAAUCGUGUACCACACAAUAACUUGUCGUGAACAAAAUACGGUAGCAUAGUAAAACAAUUGCAUGGAAAUACGAUUAUAUUGCUAAACCCUCAGUUUGAGAUAAACUUUACGUAAAUCGGAUGGUGUAUACUCUGUUGGCAUGCAAGUUCUUCAUCCUGUUAAAUGGUAAAAGGGAGUUUUAACGAAAAGCCCACGGUACUGUUCACUUUAACGAAAAACCACAUUUUUACACUAAAAAGUCAAACCUGGUACUAUUCACUUUACUUUUUAUUUUGUCCUUAUCAUUAAAACUCAAAGUUUUCAAGCCUUUUUCAAAGUCUGUCCUGAGAUUUCGUGUGCUCCGGGCGACAACCAAAAAGAGCAGAAUCAGGAAGUCGGAAUCCAAAUAUUUUGGACAGAGCAGGAAAUAAUCGAGCCAAAUCCCGGGAGAUUGGGUAGGUAGGAAAGUACACCUCAGUGAGUGCAGCAUCCGCAAAUUCUUUCGUGAUCGAGUAACAAUCUAAGAUUUAUAAUCCGUUAUUCUGAAUUGGCAUAAAAGUAUCCCAUGCAGGUGAACGUCGAGUGAGAUACAAUAUCGCAUUUAAUUUAAAAUGACUGGAUACAAUCAACCUUUCUUAAAAAAAAUACAUGUAUGCAUAGUAAAAUCAAACAACGUAACUAGGUGAUAUAUUAUCCAAAUCUCUAGAUAUUUCUUGUAUCAAAUCCCAAAUACGUAGAUUUGAGAUCACCAUUUCCAAAUGAACACUUAGAGGAGUCUGUUGGAGCGCUAUAUAAUUAGAAUGGGAGGACGUUGGUUUCUAAAUUUCUAUCCCCAAAAAUAAACAAGGCAGCCGGUGAAGAAAAAAGACAACAAAUGCACAAUGUAAUAUUUCUCUCUGAUUAGUUUAGUUCAAACUCUCUUAUCUUGUGGCUUUACUCUUCUUUGUUUUGGUUUGUCUUGGUUAGUUCGAGGUGACUCUGAUUUUAUUCAUAUAGAAAACUUUCUUGUAAACGUGAUUUCAAAUCAUCAAAACCGUUUUUCGUAAUAUUUAACAGGAAAAAUUAAAAGUGCUUAUGGGUUGGAAAAAUAUCCUGACAUGGUCUAUAUAAACAUAAGUGCUCUUCAAAAAAUAAAAAAACAUGUCUACGAGCUAGAUAUUACUUAGGCAAGAUCAAAUUUAUGCUUUAUUGUUAAUAAAAUUGUCCUCGUACAGUCGAGAAGUUAUCAAAUGAAAACAAAACCAUGUAUGAAAUGAAAGUAGUGGAAAUAUAGUUUUACCGGGAAUAGCAAAGAGACGUUAUUUAGGAUUUGAGUGGAGUUGCCUUGCAUUUCGCCUUCUGUCGAGACCUCGUCAAACAUCAAGCUCUCAACUGAAUCGAAACCUUAAAAAAAGAAAACAAGAUUUACUAAUUUUCUUCUCCCUCACUGUCUCUCCGACAUUUUCUAAGACUUCUCAAAUCCCGACUAUGAUUCAGGAUAUUUAUAUCCAUCCUUGCCUCUCUCUCCCCCAAAACCCCAUUUGUGUUUUUCUUUUUUGGACUGACCCCCCGCUGUGUUCACCAGAGGACAGAGGUAAAUAAAAUCAAUAAUCCUAUUAAUCCCACUAUAUUUUUCUGUAUUUUUGUACAAUUGGAGGCCUUUAAUUUUGCUCUUUCUGUUGUUACUGCUCAAUUUUAUUUGAAUUAAUCCUAUGUUUUAGUUGAGUUAUAUAUAUGAUUUUUAUUUAAAUUUAAGCUGCAUUCUGGUUGUGAUUUUGGUUUCCAAAGUGGGAACGUAAAUGCAUGGAUUUGUUCAAUUGGGCGAUUCUUGUAGUUACUGCUCAAUUUUACUUGAAGUAAUUUGCUUUUUUAGUUGGGAAAUUAGCCAACACGAUCAUUUUUCACGUACCAAUCGCUAAAAAUGAUCAGUUUUCAUUAUAUCGUCAAUAUCUGAUUUUGAUCGUUUUAGGAAUUGGGAUUUAGUUUCUAAUCAUUUUAGCGAAUUGCCCCCUUAAGUUGGUUGUUUCUUUUUUGAAAUUUAAGUUGCAUUUGGUUGCAAAGUACAUUAUAUAGCAUAAUUGGUCUGUUUUGUGAUUUUGUUUUCCAAAGUGGGAAUGUAAAUGCAGGCAUUUGGGCAGGGUUUUGUUUCUGGGUCUGCAUCUGUGAUAUGAGUGCUUGAUUCUUCUUCUGCACUUCAGCUACUACUUUAACAAAGUUUUCGGACAAGUAAAUACCGUUGCCCUCACAAGUAACACCAUGUCUGGACCUCUACCCGGUAAUAUUUCAUUUAGAAUCAACGUAUAUUCGCAUCUCGAUAACUAUAUGCUUCAAAUGUGAGGACUUGUCUUGAAUUUGUAAUGCACAAUGCCACUUUAAGGGACUUUAGGAUGUUGGAAUGGACAAAAACAAGCCUUGGAAUUUGGAUGCAUUAAUAGGCAAACAUAUUAUUCUUUGCAUAUUAGGAUGCCUCGCGUUUGAUGCGCAUAGAUAUGACUCACUUACGUUGUGUGAUUUUCAGUAUCUGAUGUCGAAAUAUCUGAGGAAGAUAGAAAGACUAAAGUCGGGUCGUUGAAGAAGAAGGCAAUGAAUGCCUCUACUAGGUUCAGAAAUUCUUUGUCAAAAAGGAAUAGAAGAAGCAGUAGUAAAGUCUUGUCUAUCGACAUUGAGGAUGUGCACGACUUAGAGGAGAUACAUGCUGUUGAUUCGUUGCGGCAGGCACUUUUACUGGAGGAGCUUCUACCCUCCAAGCACGAUGAUUAUCAUAAGAUGCUCAGGUUUCUUCCUUUUUCUUGUUCCAGUGGAAGUUUUGUUGUCGAUGGUUUUUAUGAUAGAUACUGGGUUCUUGUUUAAUCUAACUAAAUCAUUGUAAUACAGAUUCUUGAAGGCCAGGAAAUUUGAUGUCAACAAAACCAAGCAAAUGUGGUCUGACAUGCUCGAGUGGAGGAAGGCAUUCGAUGCUGACACAAUCAUGGAGGUAUCUUCUGUAGAAAUAGGUGCUUAGGUUUUGAAGUUUGCUAAUUAUUUCAUUUUACAUCUUUCCUUUCAAUUUUUAUGUUUGCUUUCCUUUAGUAAAGAGCAGAAUAUCAUUUGUUUAUAUUUGUUCGUCAAUUUAGUUACUCAUGUAUUCAUCUUUUCUUCUAGGACUUUGAAUUCAAGGAACUCGAUGAAGUCUUGAAAUACUACCCCCAAGGACAUCAUGGUGUAGACAAGGAAGGACGACCUGUGUACAUCGAGAGACUAGGCCUAGUAGAUGUGACCAAGCUGAUGCAAGCCACAACUAUGGACCGCUACGUCAAAUACCAUGUCCAGGAGUUUGAGAGGACAUUUGCUGUUAAAUUUCCAGCUUGCUCAAUUUCAGCAAAGAAGCACAUUGAUCAAAGUACAACUAUCCUCGAUGUGCAAGGAGUGGUAUGUGAUACUAACUAUAACCGCUACUUCUGCUCAGCAAAUAAUUUGAAAAAACAGAAAACUAGAAUCACUUAUGGGAAAACAAGGGAAUAGCUGGUAUAUUGUUUAUAGCUGUUGCCAAGAUGUGCUAAGAUUUUUAACUAUAAGGGAUAUUUACUACAAAGAAUCUUGCUUCAAAUUACAUUACAUGGAAGUUAAAUAAUCUGUUACGAACUUACUGCAAUGCCUCAGGGAUUUAAGAAUUUCAACAAAUCUGCCAGGGAACUUAUUACUCGCCUUCAGAAGAUUGACGGUGACAAUUAUCCUGAGGUACUGCCUUACCGGUUAACAUCUUUUGGUCUAUAAAAUUUUGGGAACUUCAGGACAUUUUUGUUGAUGGUAGAAUUAUGAUGCACACAAACUGUUGUUUUUACCACAGACCUUGAAUCGCAUGUUUAUCAUCAACGCUGGUUCUGGCUUUCGAAUGUUGUGGAACACCGUGAAGUCCUUCCUUGAUCCGAAGACUACGGCAAAGAUUAAUGUGAGUAUAUACAUUUUUAUGCUAAAAAUGCUUAUUCUCGUCAGGGCUACAUUAAUCAGGGAAAACUAUCAUCCUCCAGGUCCUUGGCAACAAGUAUCAGAGCAAGUUGCUUGAAAUAAUUGAUGCUAGGUAAGUCUGUUUUAAACGAAGCAGACUUUUUAGGAGCUUUGCUUCCACAUAAGCUGCUUCAUCAGUUUGCUUAUUUUGAUGUACAUUUUCUGGCUUGACUUUGCUCCAGCGAAUUACCCGAGUUUUUAGGAGGUACAUGUACUUGUGCUGAUCAAGGAGGCUGUAUGCUUUCGGACAAGGGACCCUGGAAACAACCUGAGAUCAUGAAGGUAGAUAAAGACCGUUCUUCUCCUCGUUUUUUUUUUCCUUUUUAUUAUAUCAUUACCACUAUGCAUUAUUUUAACUUCUAAUUUAAUUAGAAUUCAUAAGUAUCGAUUUAUGUACUUGCAGAUGGUCCAAAACGGCAGUCAUCAAUGUUCAAGAAAAUCUGGACUUCAAGUAGGUCCUGCUUGAACAUAUCUUCUGCUUUUCUUUUUCCUUAUAAACCUGCCCCUAGUUUCCGGAUUGUCACAUUUGGACUCUAGGUCAUCUCAAAGUUCUUAGUCACAUGAUUUUCAUCAUAUAUUUUGGUGCUUCAUGUUCGUAGAUGUAAUUGAUAGCUUAAUCAUAUAAUCUUCCUAGGGACUCGAUGCAGCUCUGAAUGUUGGACCUUCCGCUCCUAAACUCAAUCAUGCACUUUCUCGCUUCCAUGAAGAAGUAAGUGCAAAAAACUUCCAAGUUCAAUUUAAAUUUCAACCGAGCAAUUGUCAAGUACACUGAGAGCUUUUCUUUCUUAUGUAUGUGUUUCUAAGCAUAGACACACGUAUAAUUGAUAUCUGCGUAUCUUGUAGCUGAAGUUUCCCUCCUCUGUUAUCGUGACAGUUCUGACCUCUGAGAUAAUCUUUGCAGGUAUCCCUAGCCAAAACUCGCCAAGUGUCUUUCAGGCGCAAGGACAGUGUCUCGAUGGUUGGUAAAUCUGUGGAUUCGAGUUGGCCAAUGUCAGUGGGGAAUGUUAAAUUUGCCCUCUCAAAGGCUAAAUCAUCUGAGAAUUUAGGUGAGCUUGUGUAUUGUGUUUCUUUCCUUAUCUAAUUCUAAGAUAUUCCUUUUUUUUUCCUUUUUGUUUCUUUCACAAUAGUUAUAGGGUCUGAGUUUCUUUACUUGCAGCAGGAGAUUGUUUCACCAGGAACAAUGCUUGCAAACUGCCUGAAGGUUUAGGCUCUCAGAUUAUGGCUGCUAUUAUGACGUUUCUUGUGGGCAUUGUCGCCAUGGUCAAACUAACACGUAGCAUGCCAAGGAAGCUCACCGACUCCACCUUCUACUCCAGCACUGUCUGCGACAGUGACACAAUGGUCAAAGGCCAGGGCUCUUCACACUCUGCCAUCUCCGGUUCAGAUCUCAUGACUGUCAUGAAACGCAUGGCUGAGUUGGAAGAGAGAAUGACUGUUUUGAACAUGAAACCUGCUGCCAAGCCAGCUCAGAAGGAGGAAAUGCUGAAUGCUGCUCUAGGUCGGGUUGAUGCCUUGGAGCAAGAGCUUAUGGCAACAAAGCAGGUAGCGUUUCAACAUGUUCCUCUAUGUAGAUUUCUGGAAUACAGAGCUACAAAACCUAGCUGAAAAAUUAAAUCUGAAACAGUAUCCAACCAUAGGAAAGUAAAAGCUGUAAUUUACAUCAAUCACUAGCAGGGUACUAUUAAUGUUAUAGGUGUAUGAUCCUCAUUUGAAUUGGCUUCUCGUUUAGGCUCUCGAGGAGUCGCUUGCCCGGCAAGAGGAGCUCUUGGGCUCUCUUGACAAAAGAAGAAGAAGAAGAAGAACAAGAAGAAGAAAAUGGUAAGCAACCGAGACGAAAACAUCACUUAUUCGAAUUUUAGGUGGAGUUUGUGACAUUUUAAAUAUGUUUUGGGUUGUAAUGCAGUUCCAUAUCUGGUGAAGAAAAGUCAGACACAGGAGAAGAUAUGCUUGGUUGAAUAAAUGAAUCAUUGGCUGUCAAAAGCCCCCACCCAAAUGCGCGCCUGUACUCAACUUAACCGUUCUAUUAAACUUUUACCACAUAAAAUAUGAAUGAACAAAGUUUUGGCCAUGUGCCUAGUUUGCCAGUGUAUCACUUUUCACUAUUAUAAUUUAUGUAGAUGUCUUCAUUUUUCAAUAUAAGUUUCUAAUAGCACAUGAACAUUGGUCUAGCGCACGGCACUCGAUCUCUAGUUUGUUCAAGAAGAUAUUGCGUUCACAUCUCAUGAACAGACAAUAGUUGUUGAAAAAACUAUUUAGAGUUUGGUACAAACCCAACUGGAUUUUGGGUGCAUGCAUGAUAUGAUCAUGGUGUAGAUAUCCUACUUUAAACGGACAUUUAGUCUUUUUACUUCGCUGGAGGCAAUUCUGAGUUUAGAUUUUGUCGAGGAGAGUUGUUGAAACACUAUUGAGUGUUUGGUACAAACCCAGCUGGGUUUGUUUGGGUGCAUUAUGCAUGAUAUGAUACCAUGAUGUAGCCAAAGACCUUGUGAUUUGCUUGUUGGAAAGCAAGUGAGAGUUGAGCUACUUUCAGAUUAUCAGAAUCUAGAUGGAUAGCAGAAUAGGGUUUGCUCUAGGGGGGAUGUAGGAGGGCGGCGGAGAAAGUGUGCGCUUACGGAAUGUUUCUUUCAAAGACUCACGCGAGAGAGAGAGAGAGAGAGAGAGAGAGAGAAUGAAUGACUGAAUGAACUGUUGGGAAAGCAAAGGCAACACUGUUCACAAUCUUACCAUAUCUUCAAGUUGGACUGCCUCCCCUUAGUUUUAGGCUUUUAGCCAUUUGGUUUGGCUUUAGCCAAGUCCACCAAAAGGGUUUGAUAUUCUCUACACAUAGAAUUAUACAUCAAACAUCAAACAUUAUAACAUUAAUACAUUAUAUUAUUUUUGGGGAAUUGUUAUUAGCAUUUCAAAAAUCUUAUUUGGCACUACAAACCUUCUAUAAUUAGAAAGAAAAAUACAUUUGUAAGGAGCGUAUAAUGAGAUUUUUAGAGUAUUAAUAACAAUUCUCUUAUUUUUGUUACAUCUAAAUCAUGAAUUAUUAAGACAAUAAGAGUGCGAUGAUUAUUUGUAUCACAAAGUAUUUGUGAUCGUCAUUAACAUUUAUCUCUAAAAAAAUAUUUUUAUUAAAUGCCAGAUUAGAGAAAUCAUCCAUGUACUGUGGCGUUUGUCAAUGUUGCUCUUGCGGAUGCAUAACUCUUAAUAAUACCAUUGAAGUUAUAUAAUUAGUAUGUUACCAAUCUCAUUUCAAAUCUUAUUUGUUAUAUCACAUUCAAACUUUAUCCAUAUUUUUAUUGUGUGCAUCAUUUCAAGAGUAAAAAUGUAAAUUUUAUUUAAGUUUGUGGAGCUGUUUCAGCCUUAAAUUACACUUGGAAUGACCAUUUAGUUUGAAUUGGAUGAAAUUUUGAUGUAAAAUUCGGUUUGGCCAUUUUUUUUUUUCAAUUACAAUAGAAACAUUUAAAGAUGUGACCAAACUUAUGGAACUUAGCCUUAUGGAAAUGUACCAAUAGGGACCAUCAAUGGGUACCUAUUAAGUUAAACGGAAGUCCAUUUAAGUGUAAAUAUGUGUUAUUUUUUAUGAUGAAUGGUAAUAUUGUGCUUGUAAUAAUGAUAAUAUUGAUAUAUGGAAUGUCUGUGGGCACCUAUUGAGUAUUACCGAUGAGUAAGAAUUAAUGGAUCUCCUCGCAUUACACGUUAAAUAUUAAUCUAUACUUAUCAUAUCAACAACCAAUUGUUUAGCAUUAUCUAAGAGCAUAUACAUCCUUAUUUCCAUGUUUCUUGUUUGUAAUUGAACAAAAACGGGGAUGAGUAUCAUUUCUUUGUCGUUGUACAGAAAAGUAAUAAUAAUAUCUCAUAAAUUGAAGGCAUAUUAAAAGUAAUUGUGAAAAUUUAUUCAUUUUGUGGUCAUUAGAAAAAUUGUACGUGAAUGAAACUUAUCAUAUUAUUUUGAGGGGUUGAAAUGAUAGGUUUCGUUAAUGAGUAAUUCACUGUUUACCUUCAAAUUGGACACAAAUUUUGUCAUUAAAUUUUUUUCAUUUAAGAUAUCUUAGAGAUCAACACAUGCUAAAGUUUCCAAACCAAAUCUCACUAACACAGAGGCUAGUAAUAUUCAUUUUCACGUGGAACAUCUCGAGUUGAACUUAAAUGACUAAUGUCUAAUUAUUAUAAUUACCGCAGCGGCCUAACUCAGUUCAUCCACCCCUAUAAAAAUAUCAUCGAAUUAUAAACAAAUAGAACAUUUUCCGUAUGCAAAAAUAGAUAAUGCAAUGAAUGCGUAUGCCGUUGGUGGUACAAAUUUCCAAAUAAGUAGGGUUGAAAAACGGUACAUUUCACAUAGACGAGGGAAGUGAUAAACUGAUGGGUAAGCCGAGUUACCCAGAGCCGUCAACAGACGGCGUAAUCUUAAAUUCGACAGCAUGAUUUUAUAGUGUUUGAUUGAUUGUGCAUGAAGCAACAAAAACGAAGACCGAAAGAAAGAGAGAUCUUAUGUAGCUGUCCUGUCGGUGUGGGGGUCAUGGGUUUAGCUCCUUCCUCCUCCUCCUCUCUCCCGUGGGGGGUUAAUUUGUAUUUAACAUUAACCCCCCCUCUCUCUCUCUCUCUCUCUCUCUCUCUCUCAAAUCCCUCUCACUGAUCACGACGAGAAAAAGAAUCAUAACUCGUGAUGAUGGUCUGAUAUCACUAUGAGGCUUUGAGCCAUUUAUCUAUAUAUUUACAUCUAUAUAUAUAUAUAUAUAUGUAUGUAUGUAUUCGUAUAUAUAAAUAUAGAUAAGGGAGGAUCUAUGUACUUGCCAGUGACUUGUCCCCACGACCUUUAAGGAUCCUCUCUUCUCCUGUUAAUGUUGCUUGCCAAUUAUUGAGGUUUGUUCUUCUUUUCUCUUUUGGGUUUUUGUUCUUCUUCUUGAAUUUUUGUGUAAAGUUUUAGAAUUUAGCUAUGAAUUCGUGAUUUGGGAGCUUUCAUGUCCGUAAAAGGUAAAAACUUUGAUUCCUCAGCUAGUCUUUUGAUGCAAUCGACAUUCUACUUUAAACUAAUUUAAAUUCCGGGAGGGAAUUUGAACUCGGGUAGUAAGUGUGCUUCUCAGUUUCAGUUUUGAGUUUCGUUUAUUGGGUAGUUUUUUAUGGUGUGUGGAAGUUGGAGAAUUGUUGGUGUGAAUGGGAUUUCAAAAAUUGCUGGGUUGACAAGUAAAAGAAAAAAGAUGAAAAAUUUAGGAGUUGAAAGUGAAAAAAAAAAAAAAAAAAAAAAAAAGAAGCCAAAAGUGGAAGUGAAAUUCUGUGUAAUUUUAAACGUAGGAGAAAAGUAGGAAGAAUAACACAAACGGGGAUUUGGGUGACUGCAAAAGAUCCAAGUCUACAAGUGUUAAGGGCAAGUAAGGAUUGAUUCCAUUUUAAAGCUUACCUCUUCUUUACAUACACACUCCAACACAUCGUUUUCGGUUUCUGUAGAAAAUUAUCAUCCAGUGCUUGUCGUACACUUCAAUUUCUGUCACUUGGUAUUUCAUGUUGUUCUUGUUAUAUUUUUGUUGUUUGAAGGUUUUUAUUAGAAGUAUUUAAGUAUUUGUGUUUUAAGUUGGAAGGUAUUGAGUGAUUUGCAGGAAAAUGGCAACUUUAGUUGAGCCUCCGAAUGGAAUUAGGCAACGGGGGAAGCAUUAUUACUCAAUGUGGCAAACAUUGUUUGAGGUUGACACCAAGUACGUACCGAUCAAACCCAUAGGGAAAGGAGCAUAUGGUGUAGUGUGCUCGUCAAUCAAUAGGGAAACGAAUGAGAAAGUUGCAAUCAAGAAGAUCAAUAAUGUGUUUGAGAACAGCAUUGAUGCAUUGAGGACUCUGAGGGAGUUGAAGCUUCUUAAACAUAUCCGGCACGAAAAUGUGAUUGCUUUGAAGGAUGUUAUGAUGCCUAUCCACAGGACAAGUUUCAAAGAUGUGUACUUCGUUUACGAGCUCAUGGAUACGGAUCUUCAUCAUAUUAUAAAGUCAUCCCAACCACUUUCCAGUGACCAUUGCAAAUACUUCCUAUUUCAGGUACUAGCUUUCUCUCAACUAGUGUUAAUUACCUCAUUAAUUCCUCCGAGUAGUCAUCCCAAUUGGUUCAUGCUAAUUUUGAGCUUAAUUAGUUCAUGGAAAUGUAAAAAAUUCUGGAAAAGGUAUAGGAACUGAAUGAGUAGAAAGCAUGUUACCGAAGUACAUUUUGACCAAGCACAAGCAGACGUUUCAGCUUCUUGCAUUUUCUUAUGUAGAACUUAACACUCUGGUGUUUCUGUGCAUUUCAAAGGCUGAAAUUUUGGUUCCUCACCAAGCUUCAGUUAAUCCUUGAGCUCUGCUCUUAUAAUAGUUGUUCUAUUUGUGACUAAUUUGGUUCGGCAUUGUAGCUGCUUCGAGGGCUCAAGUAUCUUCAUUCAGCAAACAUCCUUCACCGUGAUUUGAAGCCUGGCAACCUGCUAGUCAAUGCUAACUGCGACUUGAAAAUAUGUGACUUUGGGUUGGCCCGAACCAGCGGAGGUAGAGGCCAGUUCAUGACAGAGUAUGUUGUCACUCGCUGGUAUCGUGCACCAGAGCUGCUAUUGUGCUGUGACAAUUAUGGAACAUCCAUUGACGUCUGGUCCGUAGGAUGCAUCUUUGCUGAAAUUCUUGGCCGGAAGCCAAUCUUUCCUGGAACUGAAUGCCUCAACCAACUAAAACUAAUUAUCAAUGUUCUUGGUAGCCAGAAUGAGCCUGAUCUUGCAUUCAUUGACAACCCGAAAGCCAGGAAGUACAUCCAAUCACUGCCCCUUUCUAGGGGGACACAUUUGUCCCGUUUAUACCCCCAAGCCGAUCCUUUAGCUAUAGAUUUGUUGCAAAGGAUGCUUGUGUUUGAUCCAACUAAGAGGAUCUCCGUCUCAGAAUCACUCCAACACCCUUACAUGUCAGAGCUAUAUGAUCCGAGGUCUGAUCCUCUUGCCCAGGUUCCCAUCAGCCUCGAUAUAGAUGAGAAUAUGGGGGAACCAAUGAUCAGGGAGAUGAUGUGGAACGAGAUGCUUCGCUACCAUCCAGAAGCUGUCCAGAUGCUUCACUACCAUCCAGAAGGGGCUUAUGUGCAUGCUUAGAUAAACUUUCAAAAGGCUUUCCAGUUUCAAAAACAAUGUUUCUUCGUGCAAUGUGUUUAUUAUUUAUAUAAAAAUCAUGCAAUAGAGAAACGUAUUGUUGUUCAUAAUGAUCUUGCCAAGAUUUUGCAUUAUGUUCGGUAGCUUGAGGUCUCCCUGAACAUUCUAUCGCGUAACUCUGUAUGUAAUUAUGCUUGUUACCUGUAGUCUACGACUAUGAUAUCUUAUUAUGGAUAAUGCAUGCAAGACAUUUCCUGAGAAAAACCGAAAGGAACUGAAUAAAGAUGCGUCCAUUUUUAUUCACGUUCUUGUCUUCUGUUUCAAUUAUCCUUGUAGUUUUCUUUACUCAAAGGCAAAGAUGUGUACUGUUUCUUCACAUAUUGGCAAGCUCAAGCUUAAUAGGUAGAUGUGUGGGUCGCUCAAGGCUUUAGUGUAGAUGCUGAAGCAUGUGCUUGUUUGCCUGAAAGUGAAAGGAAUAUAUGAAAUCAUUCGUCGAAAUUUCACUGUACGAUUUGUGUCAUUUGCUUGAUAUUUCGUGGUAGGCACAAAUAGGAAACUACAAUUGCCCUAGAGCUAUGAAAACUUGAUAGAGAUACAGAGAAACUUGAUAGAGAUACAGAGAAAGGGGGGAAAAGAAGCGCGGAGUAAGGGUGAUGGGAGGGAGGUCGAAGAUGCGUGUAAAAGGAAGGAUGAAGAAGUGCGGAGUAAGGUGGUGGGAGGGAGGUCGAAGAUGCGUGUAUGAAAUGCUACAUAGAAUGAAAACUAAGAACUAAAACGAACUUUAAGCUUUAAUUUCUAAUUUUUGUUUCAAUCAUUCUCCAUAAUUUGUACCUCCACCCUCCUCCAUCUCCUUUUAGCUUCUCUAUCUCUAACGAAAACUGAAAACUAAAACUAUUAACGAAAAGGUUAUUCCUUAUGGAGUUAUGCAACUUUGUAGUAUAGAGCAGAGAACCAUGAAUGAAAGUCUGAGAAAGUAAACUAGGGAAUUCAUGUUUGUCUUGUAUUUUGGAUAAUAUCCAGAGGUGGAUAUGGAUACAUUAGGUGAGCCGAGGCAUGGAUAAAGCAGCUCAAUACUGACCUACUGUAAGCACACAGUUGUUAAUAUGGCCCCUAGCUUUUGGUUAGAGAUUGACUUUCAAUGCCUAUCGGAACCGAAUAUAAGACUGUUUUAUAACUAUUUCGUUUGUUGUUUUUAAUUUCAUCGUUUUGUUAACAGUAAAUAGGAAAUACAAGAGAGAAAUGAGGGAUGGACAAAGGUGGAGGAUGAAUGGUGGAAUAAAGCGGAUAUCGUAGAGUACACAAAAUAAAAAUUAACUAAAAACAAAGUUUAGUAGAUUUUCUUUUCUAUUUUCCACAUUCUCCUUUAUUUAAUCCUCGAUCCUUCACCCACCAUUCUUCAUUUCUCGUUCCUCUAUAUGCAUUCUUUCUAGCUCUAUCAAGAAUUAAAAUUAUAAACAAAAUAAUUAUCAAACGAGUCAGAAACUGCUAUAAAAAAAAUCAACUAUUACUAAGACUAGUCGAGUGACAAGAUGAAAUCUUAAGCGUUCAAACAUAAAAAGAGGGAUACAAAUGAGAAAUAAUCCUUGUUCUAUUUCUAAAGCUGCUGCAUCGAUAUGCAGCCUACUUUUUAAGUUUAUUUUGGCAAACAAACUUUAAGAAAACAUCUAUCAUAUAUAUUAUAUCCUACCAUAUAUACAAAAAAAAGCCAUGACACUCGAAAGUUCACUUUAAAGCAAAAGGAGCAUACAAUUUGAGACCCAAAGAAAGAGACCUUCACAGAAGAAGUUGAUAAGAAUUGAUAUUUAGGUCUCCCAACUUUUCUUAACCCCUAAUAAACCCACUAACAGCCCACAGCCCACCGCCCACCGCCCACUGCCCACUGCCUACCUCUCUUGCCUGCCUGGUUUCCUCCCACUUCUUUUUACAAUGACUGGGUCCAAGCCUCCCAAUGCAACUUGCAAGAAACAUGUCAUUGAAGUAAUGGUCUUAAAUUGUAAUUUAAUUAGGGUAAUGAUUUUUGAACUUACUACAAUGUGUAGAAAUGAGUUUUUUGGGCGACUUCGUUAGAAAUUUUGUUCAUUUUUUUCCUUUAACCUUUUAUUUUGGAUGAUAUUUCCAUCAUUGUUGCUCAAAAGGAUGUUUUCUCCACGAUGUGAUAAAUUCAAGGAUUAACAUUUAUGGAUUUUCAAUUUAACGACUAAAACUCAGUUUGGGUCAAAGUUUAUGACAAUGCUUCACUUUUCUCUUUAAAUGGAUAGAGAAUUUGGUACUUUCGAUUUAACUUAUAAUUUUUCUACACAUAUAAAUACAAUAUUAGAUGCUAAGCUGAGAGUGCAAAAACCGCUACUAAAUCUUAUUUGUGUUCAGUGUCCAGUAUGAAAAGUGUGUUUGGCAAAAACGUAACGAGGAGCUGGCAUCUUUAAAUGAAAGAUUACCUAAUUCCACAUGUAUAUCAAAAGUGGAAUAUCCUCUCUCUCUGUCUCUCUCUAUAUAUAUAUAUAUAUUAUGUAUAUAUGUAUAUAUGUAUUUGAGUAUGCAAUAUGUUAAAUGGAGUAGACCUUGAAGUUGAGGAAGGGUCCAAUAUGUCAUAUGUGGUUUCCAAAGUCCAGAGUCCAAUGGGGAUCAUUGUUAAUAAAACAAAUUGGUCACUUAAAAUUAUAAAUGUCUAAAAUUCAUAUGCUUAAAUUGAAUUACAAACACAAUAAAUAUGAGAAAUGACCGAAAAACUAAAAGCAUAAAGUGUUUAUUGGGAGAAUUUCAUGCCCUCGAAAAUUGCAUAAUACAUAUUCAAGAAUUGUUCGUGCAUUGCUCGAGGGCACAAGAACUGCUCGAAAGGGACUCGAGUGGCUAUGUUUUCUUCUCCUCUUUCUUUAAAAGAAAAACAUAGCUCCAUCGCUGGGCAGCCAAUGACCAGUCAUUUUGUAGGCUGCAGGGAGGGGGCCUUACCUGUGUAAGAUGUAACCCUUCUUGUUAUUGAUCAAUUUUAAGGGACCGUCUCUUAGAAUUUUGACCACAUACACGUGCCCUUGUAUUGUUGGGAUUCAACUAGAACAGCAACCAUGUCAACACAAGACUCAUGUGCGACUUUUGGUUGGUGUAACCUAAUUAUGCCACACUUGCCAAGUAUAUGAUGUAAACUUGAGGAAAAAAAUAGGCUAUUUUUUGCAAAACUUCUUAAAACUCGAACCUAAUUUCACUUUCUUUUAUGGAUUAAAAUUUUGUCAUUUUGUAUUUUGAAUUUCGAUAUUCGUUCCAUUUUAGCUAAAUUUUGUUUAUUAUGUUAUAUUGGUGUUGAAUUACUGACACAUAUGUGAUGGAGGUGCCAACCGUAUCAAUGAACUGCACCACAUUGUAUAUCAUGAUAUAAUUCAAGGACGAUUGCUACAUAAUCUAAGAAGAGACGAGAGGAAUACAUAUUACUUUAAAAGUAGUUUCAAUUUACAAAUUAAUCUUAGAAAGUAACUUUUAUCUCAAUUUCAUGCUGAACUUUUGUCUCACAAAAUCAGGGGAAAAUAUUGACUCUUUGAAGAAUACAUACAUAUAGACAGAAUGCAAACCAAGUCUUACGAAAUUUCAAAUACCGAGGACUUGGCCCUUAAGGUCCUGUUUGGCAGAACGGAUAGGACAAGUUAUACGGAUUUGGGUGUUUGGCGUUUCCUCGUAUUAAAUAAGCACUUGAUUAAUUUAACCGAUCUGCUUAUUAGUUGGUUUUGCUCUCCUCUCUCGCGAACUCGGCCCUCUCUCUCCAACCGAACCUUUAAUUUCGUACAUGACGCUGAGUUAUUUGAAUUCAAAGCUUUUUUGACAGCAGAUGUCAAAUUUAUUAAAUGAUAUUUUAAUAGAGUAAUAUAAUAUAUAAUAAAUGUAGUUAUGUUUUUGAAAUAUUUGAUUGGUUGUCUUAAUCAUUGAACUCCAUAAAAAGAUAAAAAAUUUAUUAAAUGACAUUAUUAUUUAACAUAUCGAUGAAGCAAAAUAUUAUACAAAAUGUCACAUUGCCACAUAAGUUAUCAACUAUCAUAUUGAUGUUUAAAAUUUGGCAUCUCCUUAGGAGAUGCUUUUAGGAUUUGAAAUGUAUUUGGGUUUUUAGAUAAUUACAUUGAAUUCAUAUCCAGUCAGUAUAAAUAACACGAUCAUUAGUUCAAUGUUACACCAAACGAUCGAUUAAUUUAGUCAGUACUAUUCGAUGAUUAUUUAUUCUAUCCGAUUAAAAUAAUCAGUAUAGGCGCUAACAAACGAGGCCUAAAAGUCACAUUAUGUGUUGUCCCUUGUCCUCGUAAUUAUAUUAUAUGACAAUCAGACAUGUUCUUAAAUUGUUUUUAGUAGUUUAUUUAUUUUAAGCGGGCGUUGCUGGCCUAUAUAUUCAACCAGCCACCACUCUUCAAAACCUCCUCUCCCUAUCUUUCCUGCCUAGUAGUGCCUACCCCAAGAUUUUGAUCUCUCUCUCUCUCUCUCUCUCUCUCUCUCUCUCUCUCUCUCUCCUGGUUCUGAAAACCUUGUGUCUGCUCUUUCUCUCUCUCCUCUCCUGGUUCUGGAAACCUUCUCUCUUUCUUUCCUGGUUCUGAAAAACUUGAAUCUGCUUCGAAAUUCAUUUAUAGCUUUUGUGGUAUCCUUUUUCUCCAAUGCUUAAUAUAAAAACCUAUAAAUAUAAUUAUGUCUCCCGUACUCAGUGAAAUCCUGCUCUCUGGGUGUAUGAUAAACCCCACCCUCCUUCGCAGAAGCCACUUAGUUCAAUCCUUCUCUGUUGUCUUCCUCUACUGGUUUUACAACAUUUUAUAAACAAAUUUUUACUUUUUUCUUAAUUAUUUUUCAUAUCUAGCAUCUGGGUUCUUCAAAUAAUCACUCCAACUUUCUUGGGUAAGGAAAAAGUUUUUAUUUUUUGGUUUUGUUAAGCAUAUAAACAUUACGCGCAUGGCUUCUUCAAGUGGGGUUUCUUCAGAGUCGAGCAAGCUCCAAAACUCAGGAUCUGAUGCAGAUCUUAACCUAGUCAUGGACCAGAGAAAGCGCAAAAGAAUGCUGUCCAAUAGGGAAUCGGCACGUCGAUCCCGGAUGCGAAAACAAGAGCAUAUGACUGAUCUAACGGCUCAGAUUGGGCUGCUGAUGAAGGAGAACAACCGGAUCAUCACAUCCAUGAAUGUGACCAACCAGCUUUACAUGAAGAUUGAGGCAGAAAACUCAGUCCUCAGAGCUCAGAUGGAUGAGCUUACUAACAGAUUGCAGUCCCUCAAUGAUAUCUUGGAUUGUAUUAAUUCAAGCAAAUGGAUUUAUGAGGAAGAAGAAAAUCAUAAUAUUAUUGGUGGAGGUGAAGGAUUUCUGAAUCCAUGGAGUGCUGGCUUUUUGAAUAAUCAACCAAUCAUGGCCUCUGCUGACAUGUUUAUGUGCUAAACUCAGUUGGGUUAAUCAUGGAUUAAGUGAGAGAUUAGUGAAGUGAAUUGAGAUGUAACUACUAACAACAUCCAUGGCUUGUGUAGAUUUGUUGUUACAAUUGAAUUAUUAGUAGGUCACAGGUCGUUCUACUGUUGAACAUGUAAAGCAUGUGUAAGCAAUCACUUUUGCUUUUCUUUUGGCUUCUAGUUUUGUUCCCAAUUUUAUGAUUUAAUAAAAUACUUCUUGUUUAUUUGCAUACAAUUUCAAGUUAAUUGUGCUGUGUUAAUAACGUUAGCAUACUUUAUUUUAUUUUCUUAAAAAUUAAUAAUGUUGGCAUAUUGCUGGAAUUUUGUGUGGUUUUCAUAGCUGGAAUUGGAUCAUAUGGUUAGACAAAUUUUGCUUUUUAGCUAAAAUAGUUCAUGAAAUUUUCAUAACACAUCAUUUUGGUCUCUGAGAUUGAAAAUCAAUAGAAAUGGUCCCUGAGAUUGUCUACCAUCCCUUAUUUUGGUCCUUCCAUUAAAAACUCCGUUAAGAGUGUCCCGAAGCUCUUGGCCGAAAGUUUGGGCAAUUUUCAAAGCUUUGUAACUCAAUCGUUUUUUAACCAGCUUCGUAACUCAAUCGUUUUUUAACCAACUUCGUAACUCAAUCGUUUCUUAACAAGAUUAUACAAUUUGGAAGCCCAAUGGUUGCCGGAGAUGACUGGAAAAUAGCCUAAAAGGUGUAUGGUCCGCAGGAAAACUGGAAAACUCGUCGGAAACUAAGUAAACUUUAAAUGUUCAUAACUUCUUCAAUACUCAACGAAAUCGAGUGAUUCAAAAACGAAAAUUGUUGACUUGCUGAGAGUACUGCUAUUGAGAACCUCAAGUGCUUCUGUAAGGCAAUUGAAGCCAUAUAUGGAGCCACAUACCUUUGCAAGCCAAAUCAUAAAAACUUGAAGAGGCUUUUAUGCAAGGCAGACAAAAGAGGCUUUGAGCAUGAUAGGAAGUCUCGAUUGUAUGCAUUAGGAGUGGAAGAAUUGUCCUACUACUUGAGCUGGCCAAUUCAAGGGCUGUCAUAACAAGUCAACCAUCAUGCUUUAGGCUAUGGUGUGACACAUGGAUUUGGCAUGCAUUAUUCGGCGCUCCUGGAUCAAACAAUGAUAUCAACGUUCUUUGGUCUUCUCUUCUGUUCGAUGAUGUUGUCAAUAGAUGGGCACCAGAAUGGAGGUACAAGGUAAAUGGUAAUAGGCAUGAGCUAGGUUACUACCUAACUAAUGGUAUUUAUCCUAGUUGGUCUACCUUUAUGAAAAGUUAUUCUCAUCCCGAUAGUGCGAAAAAGAAAUUAUUUUCGCAGAAACAAGAGUCUUACAGGAAGAAUGUGGAGAGAGAGUUCGAGAUCCUACAAGCUCGAUGGGCCAUUGUUAGAGGGUCUGCACGAUUGUGGAAUGUGGAAUACCUCCAUUCAAUCAUGAUGACGUGCAUAAUUUUGCACAACAUGAUUGUGGAAGAUGAGUAUGUAGAAAUUGAAGAAGAUUCUGAUGAAGAUGUGAAUGAUGACCAACCAACAUAUGCGAGAGCUAUGAAAAGAGAUGUUGAAUAUCUCGCUACAACCACAUACGAGACCUGACAGGAUAGGAUCACACUGAGUGAGUAUAUGAGACAUUUAAAUAGAAUUCAAGCUCCUCAAGGUCAUGACACACUCUGUAAGGAUUUGGUUGAGCAUAUAUGGCCCUGAGAAGGAGAACGUUGAUGAUGGAUAAUCUUAAGUGUAUUAAUGUGUUAGUGUUGGUGUAUUAAUGUGCUAUGUUGGUGUAUUAAUGUGUUCUUGUGUUAAAUUUAAGUGUGUUAUGUUGUUAAAAUUAUGUAAUAAUUUUAAGUGUACUAUGUUGGUAUUUUCUAGUAAUAAAUUGAAGUGUAUUCUUGUGACAAGUCUUUUGUCUAGUACGUUGUCAAAAUUAUUGAGGGCCGUUUGAAUUAUUGAAGGCAUCUAUUGUACAUCAAAGUGUGCAACAAUAAGUACAAUAAUUAUUGAAGACAUCUAAAUUAAUAGAAACAAUAAUUAAUAAGCCAUAAAUUUAAUACACACGAUAAUUAAUAAGUCAUAAACUUAAUACAAACGACAAUUAAUAAACCACAUAAACUUAAUACAAUUGUUAAUUCAUAAACUACAUAAACUUAAUAAUGAUAUCCACCAUCUUGACUUGGUGGUGGACUAUAGCCUUGAGAUGAAUCAUCAUCUUGAAAUAUACUCAUUGUGACAUGCCUUCGCAAAAUUUCCUUUUGCUUAGCACGUCAGAACUUCUUCCUCUCUGGAGUGUAUUUGUUGAGGUCCUCUAUCAUGAAAUUACAUUUGAACUUUUCUUGCUCCCUAUCCCCUUCGUGCGUCAUGGCCAAAUUCAUUCGGGCCGCUUCUUCCUCCCGCGAGCUAUGGCUUUUGGUCAAUCUUGCAAAUCCGGUAGCAAUUUGUGCACUAAUCGGAUCUUGGGACUCCCUUUUUCUCUUUGCUUCCUUUUGCCUAUCUCUUCUCGGGGGCCUUACAAAAGAAGAAGUUGGGGUCAAUUCAUCAACACCUUUAUUGACAUCAUUUGUCUGUGCGGCUUCACUAUGAAAUAAUCUUCCCCAUUAUUGGUCCGCAUCGGUUCCCCAUCUCGGACAAUCCUUGAGGACUUUUCAAGCAUGAUGCAACUUAAAAGCUUGAUUUUUUGGUGUAGUUCUUAUCUUGUAAAUUGCCCUUGCUUUGUCACCAUAUGUAAGAAAUACAUAAAAACAAUUCAUUGCAAAAUAAUAUUAUGUACAUAACAAAUAAAAUAUCAACAAAGAAACUCAUAACUUCUGCGGUGCUCCUUCCACUAGCCAUGUCAACCACGGCUCUCUCCAAGCUUCCCUUCCAUAAAGUGUACGCUUUGUUGAUAACCUUCCACUGAUCGUAAACACCACCACCUUCCCUUCGGCUGGCAUUGGAGUUUUCAUGGAGCUUAUCAAUAAUUUUACCCCACAAAACCUUUUUAUUUUGAUUUUUGCCAACGGCACCAUCUUCGUUAAUGGAAACUCUUGCCAAGCAUAAAGCAACAUCUUCCUCAAAUGUCCAAUUAUGAUCUCUAAUAUGCUCUUUUGCCAUCUUGAAAAUUUUGGAAAUGGGAAGAAAUGGUAGAAAGAAAAAUUGGAAGAAUUGUAGGACAAAAAUGAGUUUUGUGUGGAUGUUUGAACAUACAUAGGUAUUUAUAGAGUUUUUGGGUGAAUUUUGAGUUAAAUAUUUUUUUUUAAAUUUAUUUUAGCCGUGGAUUUAAAUUUGGACCAUUAGAUCCUUUUUUUACCGUUAAAUUUGAUUAUAUUCGACCUCUGCCGUUGAAUUCAAUAAAUAUAUAAAUAUAAAACUAAAAAAAAAUUGAAUGUAGUCGUUGGAUAAAUGUGAAUUGGAACCGUUGGAUUAAAAAGAACCGUUGGCUCGGCUGUCGCAAGUGGCCGACAUGCCCACGUGGGUGAGGCCAUGCCGAUCAUUCCGUUGGCGCAUCUGAAGCAUGCGCACGUGGAAAGGUGGAGUUUGUCACUUAAGCGCCAAUUCCCAGUUACGUUGGUGGAGCCCACACCAAUUUCUGGGUUAAACUUGGGCCGGUUUUUGGUUAUUUUAUUUUUUUAUUUUAGGUUUUAGGUUUUAAGUCCAAAUUAGAACUUGUGUUGGAAUGGAUUUUGGGGGGGGGGGGGAAUAGAAGAGGAAUUAUAGGUUUUAGGCCAUGGGUUGGAGUUGGCCUAAGAAACACCAGUUAACAUAGGGCCUUGAAAAGGUCCAAGAUAGGGCCUUGAAAAGGUCUAAGGGACAUAUAAGCCUAAGGCUGAGAAGCCUGGAAAAUGACACAACCUGAAUACCGCUCGGAUAUCGGCCGAGCGAUAUAGGCCUCAAAUGCUUAUUGAAGAGCACGUGGGCAAACUGACAGCUUUAUAACACGAGUUUGCAGAGAAAAGUCCACUCAUAUGUCAUUCAAGCUAGAUGGCGACUUGGGAACAACAAUGAAGACCCAAGAUGGGACACAAAAUGAGUUGAAGCGGCGUUCGGGGAGAUUGGGUUAAUUAAUCGAGGCCAACAGGGGGAAAUGGGCUACUUUAUUCUAUGACAACAUGCAUUUGGAUGCACAGCAACCACUUCACCGCAAAUGUUUGGUUGACAGGUAAAAAGGUGUCAUCGAGCUAGUUCUUGUAGAGUGGCACAUUAAAUGCUCCCUGUGAAAGACCCAAGGAAUGAGGGUUCAUUGGAGGCCUCUAUGAAGGGGCAUGAACCCCCAAUAUCAAGGUUGGACAACUUGAGAAAGUGAAAUUGAUGUAUUAGCCAAGCGUUAUUUUUAAUCUUAUAAUCAAUAGAAUUCAACAACACAGUGGACGUAGACCAAGUUUUGCAGGGUGAACCACUUAUAUCUUUGUUCAUUUUAAUUCUAGGCCAUAUCCAAGAGCCCACCAAGGAUCAUAUAUUUUUUAUCAUUGGGUUUAAAGUAUGUUAGUGUCCACAUGGAUUCAUGACACACCCCUUCCCGAAGGAGGGCAUGCUGGCCGUCACGAUCCGAAAUAAUACUCAUUGGUACUCUAUAUGCAUCAAAACAUAAUAAGGAUGCAACAAUAUAACAGGUGAAAUAAGGAAUCAACCGGAAACCCUGCAGCUGUCCUGUACAGUUAAUUCUAUAGCUCAAAAUCCAAUCCAACCGGAGUCACCACUGUGACCUGUACGACACUACUCUGCACAUAAAUCAGAACUACUUGAAGUAGUCUGUACGAUAAGAAUGGUGUAAGAAUACGCUCUAGUGCUUCUCUCAUCAACAACUGUAUAAUAAUCUAAAGUCACCUACAAGUCGGAACCACCUCUCAUGGUCUGUACGACAUGCACCUACUUAGAUCCAAGGUGAUCGUGUGGUGCAGGAUGAAUAAUAUAAGCACUAACACUAGGAGUGCAGGUUAUGAGCUCUCAACACAAUUCACAUCAUCAAUAAAUCACAUGAACAAUAUAAACCUCACCUGAUACUCACAUGUGCGUCCACAACACCAUUUCACAUAUAUGCAUCAAAUACUAAUUCACAUAUUUCAUAUAAUAUGCAUGCAUGGCAUACUUUCUGGUUUUGAUAAAGAUUUCUGAAUUGAGCUAUUUGAAGAUUUAUAUGCAUAUUAUAUACUAUUUUUCUGGGAAAAUAUACAUGUUUUACAGCGAGGGGUUAGAAAUGUUAUUAUAUGAGAUAUUUUCGAAAAACUUUGUUUUACUGACCCACUCAAUCUUGUUUUGCGCCCCUCUAGGUUCUAGUUAGCAGUGUUGGUGGCUCACGAGGAUUCCCACGGUGUUCUAACAGAAUUCACAAAAGUAGGACUCACCAUCGGGUGUUACAUCUUAGUAAUUGUAUCUUUAAAGCUUCAGAAUUGUGUAAAUGGUUACGUCACUCUCACGUGACGGCCAACAUGCUCUCUUUCGGGACGGGGUGUGUCAUUUAACGUACAAAACUGACACACCCCGAUCCUAGAAUCAAGGCGUGCUGGUCGUCGCGUGGGCGUGACGUAACCAAAAGUGCGACACAGAAGCAAUAGAUAAGAGAAAUAUGAAGGAAUAAAAACCAAUUACUAGCAAUAAUAUCCAACUAGCAUGCUAGAGUAAGUUUAGGUGUGAAACACACAUAUUCAGAGCGUAAAUACUAGGUGCAGUCAAGUAGGACUAUAACUAAAUUACAACACCCGAAGGUGAGUCCUACAUUUAUGUAGUCUGUCAGAACGCCGUGUAAAUCCUCGUGAGCCACCACACCGCUAACUAGAAUCUGGAGGGGCGCAAAACAAAAUUGAGUGGGUCAGUAAAACAAAGCUUUUCGAAAACAUUUCAAUUAAUAACAUUUCUAACCCCUCGCUGUAAAACCUGUAUACUUUCCCAAAAAAUAACAUAAUAUGCAUAUAAAUCUUCAUAUAUCUCAAAUCACGAAUCUUUACCAAAAACCAGAAAGUAUGCCAUGCUAUAAGCGUCAAUAACAGAAUAAGGAUGCAACAUUAUAACAGGUGAAAUAAGGAAUCCGCCCCGGACCAGGAUGUGACAAUUCAUUUGGGUUUGACCUCCAAUUUUGAGCGUUAACACACUUGACUUUAUUUAUUAUUAAUAUAUUUUACCUAACUUUUGACACUCGUUUUUUGGACCCACUUUGUAAUACUUAUUAAUCAUCCAAACGUCUAUUUUUUAGAACAUUCAUAGAUCAUCCUUGCAAAAAGUUAGACAAAUUCAAAACCAUUAAUACAUUCAUUAGUUGUGGAAAAAUUGACGAACACAGUUCUACAAAGCAACCCUAAACCCUGAAUCCAACGGUCAUAUGGUUUCAGAUUUGGGUGGUUUUUGGUAGACAUCAACUUUGAGGAAAGUCCUAAAAGAUAGAUGGUUCAGAUCAUUAAAAUAUAUUACGGAGUGGGCCUUACAAGAACGUGUCAAAAGUUGUGUAGAAAAAGUGGUGCGACGGAUCCAUCUCAUUUUCAAAGUGAGACAUAUCAACUCUAUUGCUCAUUUUUAUUAUAACACAUAAAAUAGUAUAUCACUUGACUUGUGUUUCAAUACCUGUAAAAAGUUUUAUGCAUUGAGAACUCAAGCCAUUAACUAUAUAAUACUAUUUUUAUGUCUAAUCAAGUUCUCAAUUAUCCCAUAAGAAUGGAUUUGAAUCAUAUCCGGAUUCAAAUUAUGAGAAUCCUAGGGAUCCUCACAUCUUAGCUAUUCAUCGUGCAUUGUGUGGUCAGAAAUUAUUUGAUUUUUUAUUAUUUAAAAUUAAAUACAAAUAGUACCUGACGAAAACUGACCUCAUGCCAAACCUAAGCAUGAUAAUUACUAAUUAGUUAUUCUUAAUUGGUUUGUUGAUGAGAGCAUGUGGCCAACCAAUUAUGACAAUGCUCACGUGACCAAGAAAGUUUAAUUAAUUAUAAUGACUGAAAGCUAAAGCGUGUUUAGAGUUCUUUUGUUCUCAAAUUAAAAGUAGGCUUUGAUAAUCUACGGAGUACCUAAUAAAUCAAAAUUGCAAUUAUUGACUUGACAUGCCUUCCUUUUUUUCCUUGUUUUUUUUUUUGAAUGAGGAUUUUUCAACUAGAUUUUACCUACACUUAUGCUGGAUAGUCUUCAAUAUUCCGUACUAUUGGAAAGUCCAACUUGAUAUUAUUAGAUUGGUAAGUAUCCAAAAAUAAUAUUUUGUUUAACCUUAACCGUUUAUUUGUCGUAUUAUUGAAUAGUUCAGACUAUUAAAAAAAUUGUUUAUUUUGAUCUUAACCCAUUAUUUCAAUCUCGCUCGCUCUCCUAAACCAUUAAUUAACUCUCGCUGAGUACUUGAGUUGACCAUCGUGGCUUAGAGCAUCUCUAAUGGAGAUGUCAAAAGAUAAAUGUCAAAUGUUAAUUUGAUGGCUGACGUGGCAAUGUUAGAUUUUCUCUUUUUUCAUCCGAUUUGUUUUUUGUUAUAAAUGAUAUUGUAGAAUCCAUUUUUUAAAGAAAUCAAUUAAAAUAAAUUUUUAAAAUUUAUAAUUUGUGCAUUAAUGGGACCAACACAAUGAAAUAAUUAAAAAUUAUUUGACAUCAUCUGUUCUCAUAUGUCAAAUUUGACAUAUGAAAACUCAUAUGUCAAUCCACAUAGGAUUGACAUAUCGGUUGGAGUUUACUCUUGCCUUCAAAUUUGAUUACAUAACAUUUCACUAAGGAUUUAACAUUUUUUUUAGAAAUGAUCUUAUGUAUUAAACAUCUUUGGUGUUUUUAUGUAUUAAACAUGACGUAAAGAAACACCAGCGUCUCCUUCGAUAAUUGAUAAAAUAAUUAACUCCUAUGGUGAUCAUGAUUUCACUUUGAAAGAGAUUGUACUAGAUUGGGUGGGAUCAUUUCUUUGUUUUAGGUGCCAAAAUGUGAACCGAACCACUCAAAAAAGAGAAAGUAAUUUCUACCUACUUAUUUUCUUCACACUCGUAUUCAUUUUUAACAUUUAGAUUGAAUCAAUAAAAAAAAAAAUUAAAACGGCAAAAAUAAAUCGGAGUACACGGAGAAGAAGAAUGCAAAAAUCAUUUCCCCACUCAAAAUUAGACCAAGAGCAUAACUAUUCUGGCCACUCACUUAUCAAAGAUUGAAUUUGAAACUUCCUGAAAACAUUUUCUUGGUAUUCCUCUUCAUUUGAAAGUAAAAAGUCUUAGGUUCAAAUCUCAUAGAUAGCGAAUUCGAUACCAAAUUAAGCUACCUAUGGUGUGACUUAACCGAACUCUCUCUUCUCUUAGUAUAAAAAUAUUAAUGUACUCAAAAGAAAAAACACAACGUUAACAGGAAACAAAACAACCUCUGCUUACACCCAAGGGCUGUGGAGGGGUAUUCCAAACGUCAUAAAACUACGAUUCCAAAACUGCAAGAUCUCUACCUCUACGGGCGGGCAAUGCUAAAGUUUAAAAAGAGUGGGGGAAAAAUGUUAACAGAGACAUAUUUUCCUAAAUCGUUUUCGGAUUUAACUAGAUGAAUGUCCAGAUUGGGGUCUGCUCUUCUUGUAGUAACUCCCAAAUCUUUGGGGAACCGGAGCCUCGUAUGAUGAAUCCCCAAACCAAAAAGCCGCCUUUCAAAAUAAUUUUGACGGAUGUGACAAAAUGGGGUAAAGUGAAACACAAAGUUAAUUUUUAAGUGAUUGGUAAGUAAAACAUUUUGAGUUAUAAUUGGCAAAGCGAGAAUAAGAUUGAGCUAAGAAGGUGGUAGUUGUGGAGCAAAAAAUAAUUCCAAAAAUCGUAGGGCGACAUGUGGAUAUUUUUUCUUUCAAGAUAGACAGGAUUGAUUUCACUAAAUGGGCAGGGCUCUCAAAUAUUCCCAGGAGCAGCUCAACAUCCUUAGAAGUUCAAGCAGCGGACAACGACUGAUCAAAGCUCCCCGUCGCAUGGAAAAGUUAAAUGUGUUAAAGAUAAGGUUAAUUACUAAAUCCUAUAUUUAAUACAUUCUCAAUUAAAGAUCAACUCAAUCAAGAAAGGAAUCCCUAUCACAAUUAUCCCAAUAUAUUUUCUUCUAAUGAAUAUCUCGGGAACUUUCUUUCCUCAUUCAUCCAACGGAUGACAUACUAUUGACCCUAAAAACUACCAAGCCUACGUGACGCGCAUGCCAAGUAACUAAUAAGCUAACUACGUCCUUUGGUUAUGUGCAGGGCGUGCCAACUCGACGGUCGAACUCAAUCGGGGAGUAAAAUGUGUUGAUGUUGCGUUGAGCCCGUCGUUGACUUCUUAAUCCUGCGAUUGCGGCUGAGGAAGGAACACGUCUCAGCCUUUGGGUUCUAGAGCCUGAAGACAAGGCUGCUAGUUCUGUGAAGUUCAUGAAUCGUCAGCACCGGGUUCAGUCACGAUGAUUAUAUUCGUAAGAGUAUAACCACGCUGAACUGGCACUAGGAAAAUAGACGCAAGUACUCGAAAGAGAUGUAUUUCUUGAUAGUAAAUGUGGUUUGAUCGUCGAAAUGCUGAACUCUAAAACUCACUUACGAAUAUCCAAUCAUAAAACAACUCGGCUUUCAAUGUGCCGAGCCUAGUAACCUGUAACACCUCACUUCGCUAAGAAGGCUGAUGAGAUGACCUCUACCAACAGGAACUCGAAAGUCCCUGUCGACCAAGACUUGGAUAAAUAACCAUUCGAUCUCGAAGCAGUGCUGUUUAUCCAAACUGAAGGUGCUCUUUGAUUUGCUAAUUCUACGCUCCAUUGAUGUUUAUCCAAACUGAAGAUAUCACCGGUUGCCUUCACAGUGCUGUUUAUCCAAACUGAAGAUGUGUUGGCAGAAGAAAUAGGAAAAGGAUAAAAUCUCAAAGGUUGUUGAGAAGCUUUGCACAAUGCAAUUUGUGUGUUGAAUUGGAGGGUCUUGAAUGAUGCACUCUCUUCUCUAUUUAUAGUAGCAAACCCCUUCAUGGCCGAGCUAGAAUCGUACUUGGAUUAGAACUCCUCAACCCAAUCUGAUUAGGUCUCGACCAAUCCUAGCUCCAAUAUGACUUUGAAUCAACCUCUUUUAACGAACCAGAUUCAUCCCCUAAAUCUCAGCAUCCUCAGCCUUAGCCUUAAGACUCCUUGUUGCACUAAGUCUCGAUUACCCUACCUUUAUCUAAACCAAUCUUCAUUGCAGUAAGACUCGCCCGACCCUAACUAAAUGGCCCAUGACAACUGGACGGCCCAUGAUAGAACUCUAAGUAGUCACUAGGCCAAGAGUCACUAAACUUGACCCAAACUAUCAUUUUGAGCCCAAACACAUACCUUGCCCAAUAAGAUGUCGCCGUGUGUAGGGCAAAACCCUAAACCCAUGGCCUGCCACUUCCUCUUAUAAUAUAAAUAACUCAUCUCCACCAUAUUUUGGUAAGCUUUUUGCUACGCAUACAAGCCCUAAACAUUUACUCUUUUUAGAUAAACUAACUUAGGCAUCAGAGAUCCAUUGGCCAAACCGCUCAUCCCACCUUGCCAAACCCCGCCCCCCACCUAGUGGGUGUGUAAGGCUUUGAUCUUUGAUCAAAUGUGUUGAUUGUUUUAUAAUAAGUACAAUUUUGUCAAAACUGAAGACGGUAAAAGUUUGCUACCAUUGUAGUUUAAAGAAGCCCUGCUGCCAUUGUAGAGCAAAGAAGCCUUGAAAACACACUGUUUGCAUCACGUGUGACUUCUAUUGCUCAAUAUAACUGGUUUUGCCGAGUCCACCCAACAUAUGGUGAUCAGCCCAACAUCACUAGGCCACAAACAAGGCCUAUUGGACCCGUAUGUCAGCAACCCCAACUUGAUAAAAUUGGGCCAGUUCAGUAAUGCCCAUGAACCAAUGGAAAAUAUCUCUCUACGUGGGACCCGAUAAACGAUAAAAUCUCCCUUCCAUCAUUAUCUAAGUCAGUAAUGCAACAUCAAGAUUAAUAAUAAAAACACGUGUCAAAAUAUGACACGUCUCACUUCCAAAGUUUCAAAACACAUGUACGGACGUAAGCUAGUUCACAAGACAACUCGGUGAAGUGUCGCGAGCCUUUUAGCUUGAUGACAAGGACGGAUCUUAUCUUCUCUAAGAUAUUUUAAUUUUUAUGCCGACAUCAACAUAGUACACCUGUCCUCAUAAAAUGCCAGGUGUCCUCAGCUACUAAAGUGGCAGGAAGGCAUGGAUACACUCUAGUGCAUGCACACCCCUGCAUGUCUACAGUCUACAGUCUACGUAGUUAGCCUAUAUAAACAACACUAUCUCAUUUCAAAUCCAUCAAAACAUUUCAUCAAAAUGGCGAAUUAUCAGUCUCAAUAUGGUACAAAGCCCCAAGACACAGAUGAGUAUGGAAACCCGAUUCAACAGGGUACUACGGGAGGCUUCGGUAGUGCCACCACUGGUACUGGGUACGGGACCACUGAAACCCCGUACACAGGAGGGCAGCAGCAACAAGAGAGAGGUACUGGCAUGACUGGAAGUGGUUACGGGACUACUGAUGCCCCGUACACAGGAGGGCAGCAGCAACAAGAGAGAGGGAUGAUGGAUAAGAUCAAGGACAAGAUUCCAGGAACUGGUGGUGGACGUAGGGAUGACGACCCCUACUCAUCGAAUGCCCAGACCGGUACUGGCAUGACUGGAACUGGGUACGGAACUACUGACGCCCCGUACACUGGAGGGGAGUACGAAGAAAGGGGGAUGAUGGACAAGGUCAAGGACAAGAUUCCGGGGACUGGGCAGAGGGAUGAAACCUACUCAUCUAAGACGGCCUCCACCACCGCACCUUACGGUGGCACCACCGGAGAGCACCAGGAAAAGAAGGGCGCCAUGGACAAGAUCAAAGAAAAGCUUCCCGGUGGAC
This 71545-nucleotide long non-coding RNA is filed under the name Malus domestica (apple). RNAcentral describes it as "long non-coding RNA (MDOM_LNC014862)". Lineage: Eukaryota; Viridiplantae; Streptophyta; Magnoliopsida; Rosales; Rosaceae. The record is from RNAcentral.